Long non-coding RNA from Mus musculus (house mouse), 50157 nucleotides. RefSeq annotates it as predicted gene 20387. NCBI's taxonomy places the organism in Eukaryota, Metazoa, Chordata, Mammalia, Rodentia, Muridae. The record is from RefSeq and is a predicted model, not a curated record. The transcript has 3 exons.
UCAACACGCAGAUUAAACAUGAGCAAUCCCUAUUCUAAAGUUUUGUUUAUAUAUGGAGAAAAUCACAGUAAAACCUAUUAAUUUUGAUAAAAUUUAAAAUGUUCCUUAUAGGACAAAGUGACUUCAAUUUUUUGUCCUAGAGAGGAUUAAAUAUGAGGGCAAUAUUGUGGUUUUCUGAGUAAUACUAUGUAUUUUAUUUAUUUUAAAGAUAUAAUUCUUAGUGCUGGCUGGCUCACUUUAAAAGAUACUGGAAGAUCUUGGAUACUGGGAGAGGAUAUUCAUGAAUAAUAUUAGCAAUCUGUGAACCUUUCUAGCCACAGUAACAACUAACCUAGAAAGAUAUGUCCAUGGGUACCACCGUGGCAUAAACAUUAUAGGGGUGAACAGCUGCUUUAGGAGAGGAAUUGGGACAUGCUUCAUAAGAGGAAGCAUAUCUGGUAAUACAAAUCUGGCCACAGACCACGGUUUGGGUGCACACAGGACCUAGAUGUGAACCUACUACUAUAAUAUUAUUAAACAGAGUACUAAAAUGAUCCCUUCAAUGCAAAUAUGUAUCUCUUCAAUGCAGACUAGUGCAGUCCACAGUCCUCACCGUAGAAGCUUUUUAUGCUCAGCGAAUGGACGUUGAUACUAAGACUCACAAAUGUUCAAAGGGAAGAAAAUAAUAUUCUGUGUAUUGUUCAGCUGUGAAUAGGACAUCUAGCUCACAGUUCACAGCGCUCUCUCGCUCUCUCUCUCUCUCUCUCUCUCUCUCUCUCUCUCUCUCUCUCUCUCACACACACACACACACACACACACACACACACAGCCCUCUGGGAAUAGUCCAGAAAAGUAUAAAGUAAGAGCCAGAGGCCAGAAAAGAACAGAACAAAGUAUCUUCUGGUUACAACCUAACCACCGAACUCUUUAACUCACAGCAGCUACAGUCAUCUAAACAAGAUCAUGCCAGGCAAUAUUCCAACAUAAAAGGGGUAUCUAGAGUCUCCACCCCAAAUGAGGUGGGAUUGGCAAUUGAUACUGCCUAGAAAGGAAGAGUCAGCUUUCUUUAGGAAUUUGGUCCCUGGUAGCUUAACCAUUCUCCAGUGCAUGGCCCCUCCCACAUGACUAUAAAAGCACAGAAAAACUGAAAUCAGUGGGAUAUCCAUAAACAAAGGUCACGAGGAUGGGAGUUAAGUCAGAGCAGAUGCAGGUAGAAGGAAAGAAUGAUGAAUAUGGUUAAAACACACAUACAUGAUAUUAUAAAAUAAUGGAUCAAAAGUUUGUAUUUAAAAGAACAUACUUGAUCUUAUGAUACUUUUUUUUUUCUACCAGAAAAUGAUAAAGUCAGUUAUCUUUUUCCCUACACAUUUCCUUAAAUCUAAAAUGUCCUUAUUCAAUCUUAAUCCUCUCUUUAAUGUCACUCUUUAUCAUGGUCAAACUAAUCCGAAAUAGCAUUCUGGAUUUAUGUAAAAGUAAUUACAGAUCAUUCAACCAUUCAUAAUUUUCAAGUUUCUCAUAUGAACAAUAUGAGAUCAGGCCCAGUGGUUUCUUUUCUUUUCUUUUUAAAAACUUUUAUCUACAGAUCUUUGACUUGUGACCAUGCUGUCACAGGUCUAUUCUUUGCUGCAAAUUACCAUUUUUAUAUUGGAGACCAUGUUGAUACUCAUUUCCUUUAACAUAACCUUUCUCUGUUAUAAUGGCCUAUGGAGGUUUUUUUUAAAGAAACAAUUUCAGCUGAUGACCUAUAUUUCUGUGGAGCAUAGACAGUACUCAAAGCCUUGCACAUGUUUUACCGCUAAGUCGCAUACCAUCUUCUCAUUAAUAUUUUGGAACUGAUAGAAGAAUGGCAUAAGAGCUUCCAUAUAGCACAGAAAUGAUAAGGAAUUUUCUCUUUGACUUUUGACUUUUUUUCAGUCAUAUUUUUUGGUUUAUUUAAAAAGCCCCCAGAAGCUUGUAAAACAUGUUUGUUGUUUUGUUUUAUUUUGAUACAGAGUCUCUUGCCUAGGCUAUCCUUAAUCUUGAACCCUUUAUGUAGCCAAGGGUGAUACUGAAAUUCUGAUUUUCCUGCAUCUGCCACCCAAGGGCAAGUAUGACAAACAAAUGUCAACAUGAAGUUGUUAUGCAGUUCAGAAGAUCCUACUCAGGGCUUCUAAUCAAGCAUUUGACCAACUAAGCUACAUCCCCAGAUACCAUGUUUGCCAGUCUUCAGCUCAUCAUUAGCUAAUAUUCACUCUAAAAUUACAUUAAAGAAACAAUGAGGAGAAUUACUUCAUCUAUUCUCUUGUUUGUUGCCAUACUUGCAAUGAAAGCAAGUAGAAAUUGGCUUUCAAUACAGAAAAGUUUGGAUUUAACAAACCAACCUCCAAAACUUUAUACCUGCACAGGAAAAAAAAAAAGUCAAGUUGCACGUCUCAGUAAAAUGUCUUCAGUAUAGCAUCACAUCCUUUCUAAUACUUAAUUUUAAGCUGCUUGCAUUUCUUUUACAAAUAUUAGUUGUGAGGCCAGGUAAAAAUAAUUGUUCAUUUUAAUUCAAAGGCUCAAAAAUUCUCUCAACACUUUGGAUUUCAGAGUAGCAGUUUGUGUUUGUGUGUGUGUGUCCCAUAAAUUUCAGUAUAUACUACAUAUCUUACUGUUUUCUGCCCAUUCUUGAGUAAAUAAAGCUGAACGUCUGUAGCAAGCAAACAAAUAGAAGCUUCAUGGAUAAUACUCCAAAUAAGUAAAUAAUCUCUAGAUCAGUGUAGAUAACCAUGCAUUCCUUUAAACAGGAUUCAUCUAUAUCCUUUUUACGGGGGGACAGAAAGUCUAAGAUUUUGUAAGCAAAAGGAUAGAGACCACAGUAUCAAAAUUAGCAGAAUAACUAGGCAAGUGAUAUUUUACUUUUAAACUUUGAAAUUAAGCAAGUUAGAUUAUCUACGCCUCAAAUUAUUCUCUAUCUAAUAGAAACCCAUAAAAUUAAGACACUAAAAUCCUAUAGAAAACCUGUAGACUUAGAUUUCAGAGUUCAAAAUUACUCUCUAAAUGGUUUAACAAAGACAUUCAGCUUACCCUAAUUUUUUCCUUCCUUGGUACUCAUGUACAAAUAUUUCAGCAUCCUCACUGGAUAGCUGCUAUCAAAAAAUUGUCCACUUUCUGGGCUAGCAAGAUGACUCCACAUGUACGGGUGGUUGCUAGCAAGCCUGACUACCUGAGUUUGAUUCAUAAGACCCACAAGGUGAAAUUAGAAAAUCAAUAUCCUCAAGUUGUCAUCUGACCUCUACACAUGUGCCACAUGGACCAUGCAUGUUCACAUAAAAAUACACACAAAUAAGUAAAAAUAUAACUAAAAAUGUUAAAAGUCAGUAUCUUAUAUUCAAUCCUAAAUGGGUCAUCUGCAUCACUCUCCCAACUCUGAAACUUUCAGCAGUCAUUUUUGAAGGGGAGCCGGAGAAGAUUAAGAGACAGAAGAUAGGGAACUAUAGUUUCCUGGACAGGUCAAAACUAUAAAACGUAUUGAUAAACUUGAGAAGCUGUUGUUUCCUGUAUAAGAACUGCACAGUAUAAAGCCAGUCAACAUUCUAGCAUAGGCACAGGGGGGCUAGCAAGCAUGCAAUUCUAACUGAAGAACUACUGACUAUUGUUGGUUUCUGAAAGAAGAAUCAAAUUUUGUUAAGGAUGUGGCUCUUGCUAGAUGUUCCUGGACUAUCAGCAGAUGUCCCUAUAUCUGGGAGCACAUGGCAAUACGACUUGAACUUGAUGGGCUAUAAAAAUAUAAACUAUAUGAACUUGAGAAAUAUUAGGCAAUUGGAGAUGAAUGUGGGAGAACUGAGGAAUUAGAAAAUGCUUUAAAAAAAGGUAACAUGAAUUUUUAAAAGAAUUUUAAAAAUAUGUAUUUUUAAAUGCCAGUGUCUUUAUCAAAACCAAUCCAUGUCUUUGGAGUGUAGGAAUGCAGGCACUGCCGUGAACUAUAAAUACCAUUUGUGAUUGGCAUUAAUCUGAAGGUGAAGAAAAUGUCAUCUAAUUGAAAUAUAUAAAUUAUUUCAAAAAUAUAUCAAAUAUACUAUAUAUAAUAUUAAUUCAUUUAAUGAAGUAUUUUCUUUUUAACAUAAAAAUAUUUAUUACUUGAUUCAAACGUAUUUGUUAUUUGAUUAAUAAAUAUAAAGAGUUCAAAAGUUCUUAUCAAACAUAUAGAAAAUUAAGAAUAUUAGCAAAAACAUAAGUUAUCUAAGAGAGUUCAACAAAUCAAAAUUUAAUAGACUGUACUGGAAUUGAAAUCCUGAUAAAAGCAAAUUAUUUCUAAAUGAAAAGAUAAAUGGGGCAUUGAAGAUUAGAUCCUAGCAGAAGAAAUUAAGAACAACAAUACUCAUCAAUAAAAACUUAAAAACCCAUUUAUUUUUGCCUAUUACCAAAACCCUCAAAAAUAUUCCACCAAAUACUUUAUAAGACAAAACAAAGAAAACACAACCCCCCAUUUAUAAUUUAAAUCCGAUUAUCAUAAAACUGAUAGCUAUAAAAUGUAUUAAUGACUUGGAUCUGUGAUGGUUUGGUCAAAUGCAUGUGAUUCGGCGUGUGUGUGUGUGUGUGUGUGUGUGUGUGUGUGUGUGUGUGUGUGUGUUUGUGUGUGUGUGUGUUUCUAAUAUGUAUAUUUGGAUGCUCAUACAUUAAGGAAUGGAAAUGGUCCUGCCUGUGAUGCCUGGAGGUUAACUACAAAAUGCCUUCCUCAGGAGCAGUCCACACUAUCCUUCUAAAGGAUAUCUCACUAGCAUGGAGAUCCCAAUUAGAUAGGUGAGCUAGGCAGUGAGUCCAGGACUCCACCAAUGUCUAUUGUUUCAGUGCUGUAUAAAGUCACCCACACAUCAUAGUUUUAUUCUCUAGGUUUGUUCUAGGGAUCAAACUGAGGUCCACAUGCUGUGUAGCAAGCACUUUCCCAACUAUCUUCACCAACUAAUCUGUAUGACCUUAAAAACAAACAUGCUUAUAGAUCAAUUCUUGGUAUCUAUUAUUAGCUCAUAGUUGAUUACAUCAUCCAUCCUUACCUAAUCGCUAAGUGAAACACAUAUAGAUAAACUUUGUUUUGAAAUUAUUAAUUUCAGAGAUCUAAGAGGCAAGCUUCAGAUGGAGCAUAAACUGUAGUUUAAUGAAAGAAGAAAAAUCCUUCUAGUUCAAGAGACCAAAAAUUAGUCACUUUGAGUAGAGCAGGCAUCGAAGGCACAAAGACAAUGCUGGUAGCUUGGUUCUAUGCCAGUAGCACUGUGAAUACUUCUCUGGCUUGUGCAAAAAUAGCCACCACCCUGGCAAACACAGGUCUGGGUCGUGGUGUGUUAAAAAAAUAAUACCCUGAUGGAAUUCCUCUGAGCCAAAAAGCUUUCACCUGCAUUAUUCCAUUAACCUCCUUGCAUUGUUACGGGAAAUGUGUUUAUUUUUUGAAAUGACAUUCAAAUAUAUCCGUAAAAGAAUACUUCGGGUCUCCCUAGUGUUCUCUUCUCUUUCAGCCAACACUUUACCUAUGAAAAAAAAAUCAAUAGCUUAUUUCUUUUCUUAUAUCAUCACAUAUAAAAACAGUAGUAGCUAGGAAAAAAUGUCAGCAUGAGUUUUUCAAUGAUGCUCUCUUCCUAAAUUAUUCUACCCUCAUCAUUAACCUGCAUAUUUAGAGCAAAGAAGUUCUCUUUGUUCUUAAAAAUUAGCACUGAAUUACACGGUUUUGUUCACUUGUGGGUUUGUGUGGUAUCUAUGUGCAUAAAUUAAAAAUUAGAACUGAAUUACACGGUUUUGUUCACUUGUGGGUUUGUGUGGUAUCUAUGUGCAUAAAUUAAUGUAAUGUGAAACUAUCUCUUACCAGUUGAUUGAAUUAAUAUCUGCGACUUUCAAUAGAAUUUCCUUUAUGCUUCCAAAUUAGUUCAAAUUCCCAGAAAUAUCAGUUUAAAUUGGUGAAACUUUUCUGGAACACUUUUCAAGAGUGCUAUGGAAGCCCUGUAUCUUAUCCUGCUAUUGUUGUUCAAAUGAUAAAUUAGCUCCUAAGAUUCCCCAGGUUCUUGUUAUUUAAAUGUUUAUUCGCAGGGGAACUUCCUUUUCCAAAUUGCUAUAUCAGACAUCCAUAUGUUUUAUUUACACAUUCUGUUACCCAAUAAUAAUUCCAUGUUUAUGUCUUGUUUUUUAUUCUUAAAAUGGUUGUUAGAUCAGUAUCCUUUAUUGAUCAGCUAAUUUUGUCAGAUAUUUAUUCUGAGGUAGGUCCAUCCUAAUUUUGACAGGCAGAAACUUGCUGUUUGAUAGUGUACUGACCUGAGGAUUUUAAAAUAGGCUUGUGUCAUACAGUUCCUUCCUCAACUGCCUGGCCAAACAUAAAAGUACCUUUCCAUUUCAGAUAUUCUAUUAAUAUCCAAGGAAAUGAUUUUUAAAAAUAUUAACCUUAAUCUAUAGAGAUGGCUCCAAGGGUGACAUGCUUGGUGCAUGAGGGUGAGAACAUGAAUUUAGAUUCCCAGAACACACAUUCAACUAGUCCUCAGAGCAUGUAUUUGUAAUCCCUUGGUUUUUACGGAGAAAUGGGAGGCAAAGAGGAGAAUCCCUGAAGACUCAUGUGCCAACUACCUGUCAUAUACACCACUGAACAUCACCAAACCUGUUAAGAUAAUGUGAAAAGAACCAACACAUCAUGUCAUCUAUAGACCUUCAUAUAUGUAUGAGGUAAUCACAUAUCUGCACUUACAAAAAUGAAUACACACACACAAACACACACACACACACACACUCACACACACACACACACACACUGCUAUUUAUGUGCUAUGCAAAAUUGUUAAUUAUAUUUUUCAAUAUUAGUUUUGUUACUGAAGUUCAAAAGUAACUGAACUGUCUUUGCUUGUAAUCAGUAUGUUUGUCUAAAAUCAAUUACCACUUUGUAUAAAGAUUUAUUUUAUUUUUAAUUAUGUGCAUGGGUAUGGUUAUUGUACAAGCAAAAAACAGACAUUUUUAGAACCUACUGGAACCGGAGUUACAGGCAAAUGUGAGUAGCCUAACAGGAGUACUGGAAUCUGCAAAUGCAGUAUGCACUCAAUUACUAAGUCAUCCAUCCAGACCAUUAAAUUACCAUUUCUGAAGUCAGGGGUUUUAUUUGCUGGAACUCAACCACAGUAGCAUGAACUCAUAAUCAAUGCUUUUGAGUACUGUGGCUUAUAACAGAUCUAUCCCUUAUAAAUCAUAGCUAUGUAGCUUCCCACAGAAGUUUCGCAGAAAUUCUUUUUACUUUUUGGUACUUCUUUUGACCUCUGGAGAUUGUCAAACUGUCAAAAGAUAACACACUAAUCAUAAUAUGGCCUGAUGUAAUACCCAAAUUCCCCAACCCACAUCUUCCUUCUUAUUAUGAUUUUAUUGCCAACUUGUACAAUUGAGAAUUCCAUGAACAACUCUGCGCCAAAUACAGCACAGAUCUGGUACAAACGGUGACAGAUUCUGUACAAAAGUGAUUUUGUAAUAUUUUCACUUUGGUAAUUCCUUCUGAACUAGGUCAUCUAUUUGUGCUGCUCCUAGUAAAAGAUAAAGUUGAGUAAGAAAAAAUACAGGAAGCAGUAACAGCACACGAGGCUCAGGUCAGUUGCUCAAAAGCUGGGGUUGCUAUUCUUAUCAUCAGUCAUCCCUUUAAGUCUUGUCACUGGUCUUAGAUUUUAUCUCCAUUUUCGUGACACAUUCACUGAAACUCUUGAAGAAACUGCCUUUCCCAACAUUUUGGAGAUUGGGAUAAUGAAAUAUAGAAAGUUCAAGCAAUUCAACUGAAGUCAAAUAAUUCAUCAAGACAUUUGUCAAAAACAUUGCCCCGUGAUUUGCUAAGGUAACAGAAUCUUAUCAUCUACUCAGUGUCACCAGACAUUAUUAAGCUAUUUACACUUUAUUUUUUCUAUCUCUCUAAUCUUCAAAUCGAUUUUAUUUGUAUAUCCUAAUUUUGGCAAAGAGGGCGAAAUGCUGAAAGUGGACAUAAAGGAGAGACUUUAAUGCUACUCAGAUGUUAACCCUGUCUUGAUUUCUGUCAUCUUUAACCUUUGAUGACCUAUCUCCAGGCAGGUCUGUGCUGUAGUGUUUUGCUGUCUUCUUUUAAAGGCUGUCCUUGCCUCCUGUCCUGAGUUCACCAACAGAGAGCACCCACUGGAGAUUAGUGCUGGACCAGGUCUUCAUUACUUUGCCUCUUUCCUAGAUAUGUUGACUUUUGAUCUCCACCCUUGUCUUCUAAAAACCGUGAUUGAGGUGUGAAGGCUCCCCUUUCCAAAUACAAUACCUUUCUCCUUUCUCCAAAAGACCAAUGAGACAUUAGCUCUUGGUUUUCUUCAUCCUAUUCCAAUGUACUUCACUGUGGUACUGACUUCAUGCUGAGACUCCUUUUAGUGAACUUACUAAGGCUUCCAUAGAUUUCUUGCUUAACAAUACAUAGUAUACAUUUAUUAUAAGUUUGCCUUUGAAAUGAGUCAAUGAGUUCAGAAUCAUGAUAAUGAUGAUGGCUGACAUGUACUGAAUGCAUGUAAAGUUUUCUCACAUGAUUAUAAGCAAUGGAUUUAUUUGAUGAGCAUAAGAAAAAUGCAAGGAACUGGAAAUAACUUGUUCUCACUCACCAUGCUGCCUAAAUAGAGCUUAAACGUUAAGUUUUUUGGCCUUUAACACAGUUGAUCAGAAAUGUUAGGUGCUCUCUAAGAGCUAGAUGUUGAACUUAGUAGCAGGAUGGUUCCAAGGAUUUUGAUAUAAUACAGGUCCUGGAGAUCGUGCAUUUUGGAUUAUGUUUACUAGUUAGAAUUGAAAAUAGUGCAUUUUGGAAAGCACAGUGAGUAAAAAUUUAGUUUCAUGUAAUACACACCCACAGAAGUGAUUCUGAGAAAGACCAACAUAAUAACAGCACAAGUUGAAGUGCCAACAUGGACAGGGAAAAACCCAUAUUUUCCUUUACCUAGGUAAUCCUGAAGGUAAGCAAUGACUACUGAAAGAGGUAGAACCAGUCUCCUCUAAGGAUGAGAACCCACCUGGGUUUUCUAGUUCCAAGAGUGCAGCCAUGGACAUAUUAAUAUGCAAACAAAGCAAAAUUGUCUCAAUAGAACGAAUAUUAAUAUAUAUAUGAUGUACCUGUAAUGUAUAUGUAUGUGUAUAUGUAUGUAAUAAUAAUGUUGAAGAAAGGAAAGUGGGAGGCAAUAUGUGGAUAUCUGAAGGAGGGACAAGGGCCAUAUAGUUAAUAGUGCUAAUGCAUAAAAUCUUUCAACUUACUUUUAAGAAAUAAAAAAUAAAUAAAUAAUUUUAAAAGAAUUGAUCUAGAAAUCUAGCAGAACAAAAUUUCACCUUAUAAUCAUUGUUUAUUUCCAGAAGCAAUAGGAAAAACUUACAAUUUUCAAUGUGAAGAUAGUGCUUAGAAGACAUUUGCUUCUAUCACACUCUGAAAAAGAGCCAGCUGAUAAAGCCAGGUGAAUCCUUUUUUUUUCCAAGAAAAUUUCUUUUUUAUAUGAAACUAAAUGUAGGGAGCAGGGGUGAGAAUACUGGCAUUAAAAAAAAAAAGGGAUCUCAUUCCAGAUGCUCAGCAUAGCUCCAAUUCACUUCAUUCUGAAUGGUUUCCAAAAUCAGUCACUUAAGUAACUGCAGAAGAAAAAAAAGAUGGCCCAUUAAUCUUAUGCUGCCCAUUCUAAUUUAAUUCUGGUUUGAGCAUAUGAAAUUAUUUGCAUUGGUUUGAAAUAUGAUUCAUAACUGCAUAUAUUAUAGGCUGUGAAAAAUUUAAGUUAUUGGUUUGGAUGACAUUAUUGAAAGCAUAGGGACAGUAUUAGAUGGUGGCACUGCAAUGUCACCUGGAUCUCCCAUCAGAUUUGUUUUGGCAAGAAGAUGUAUACUUUAAUGAAUACACUUAUUUCAAGCAGUGAAACGUGUCAAGUUUCAUUCAGUCACUGUAACCAUAAAGGUACUAGAUAAACAUAAUUAUCUGCAUGCAACUAAAUUCUUUAUCCUACUAUUUUGAUUGACGUUUCCACACCAUGAAUACCACAUGCUAAAGCACCUACUCUGGUUUACUAUGAAGAAUGUCUUCCUUUUCAAGGGCCUAUGCUGUGGUCUUUGGCACCCAAUGAAAAUCAUACAGAUGUAUCUUUUAUUAGCCAAAUGACAAAACAUCAAAGAGUUUCAGUACAUUAACCUGUAAAUAGAAAUAGGCACAGUUCCUACAACUGCAAUGCACAUCAGUUGCAGGCCGGCAGUCUAUUCCUCCCCACUCUUCAUACAUUUCCAUUGAGAGAAUGCUGUUCUCUCAAGAUCAGACCAGCUAAUUCCAUGAAAUGCUUACUUGGGAUGAAAGUCAGAAUCAAACUGAAAUUCCACACAGCUGUGCUCCUCCUUCUCUCUAGUCAGCCGAGUUCAUGCUUUGCAAACAACUUCACUUGUAUAGAUAUAUGUCUCCAUAAUGCAGAGCCAUAUGCAUACAUAGGCAUAUGCAUAUGUAAGUAUACAUAUGCAUAUAUAUAUAGGCAUAGGGACACACAUACAUUUAAACCCUUGCUUUUUAACUAAAUUGAUUCCUCUAAAUCUCAGAAUUCAUAUAUGUCGUUAUACCUUCCAUGGUAUCUUGCUUCUGUAAGGCAAAUAACAGUCAAUAGGACAAAUCAGCAACCUACAGAAUGGAAAAAAAAAAGUCUUCACUAACCCCACAUCCAAUAGAGGGCUAAUAUCCAAAAUAAAUAAAUAACUAAAGAAGCUAACUUCCAAAAAACCAAAUAACCCAAUCUAAAAAUGGUGUGCAGAGCUAAACAGAGAAUUCACAACCGAGGCAUCCUGAAUGGCCUGGAAUCACUUAAAGAAAUGUUCAAAGUCCUUAGUCAUCAGGGACCCUAGUCAAUCAACAGGACCUUGAGAUUCCACCUUACACCAAUCAGAUUGACAAAGAUAAAAAACUCAGGUAACAUCAGAUGCUGGCCAGGAUGUGGAGAAAGUGAUAUAUUCCUCAAUGGCUGGUGGCAAUACAAACUGUUAUAAACAUCUGGAAAUCAAUCUAGAGGUUCCUCAGAAAACUGGAAACAGAAUUACCUGAAGAGCCGGGCAUGGUGGUGAAUGCCUUUAAUCCCAGCACUUGGGAGGCAGAGGCAGGUGGAUUUCUGUCGAGGCCAGCCUGGUCUACAAAGUGAGUUCCAGGACAGCCAGGGCUACAGAGAGAAACCCUGUCUUGAAAACCAAAACAAAACAACAACAACAACAAAAGAACUACCUGAAGAACGUGCUAUACUGCUCUUGGCCAUAUUUCCAAAAUAUGCCCCACCACAUCACAGGGAUAUGUGCUUCAUGAUAUUCUUAGCAGCCUUAGUGUAAUAGCCAGAAUCUGGAAACAAUCCAGAUGUGCCUCAAAAGAUGAAUGGACACAGAAAAUGUGGUUCAUUUACCCAAUGGAAUACUAUUCAGCUAUUAAGAACAAGGACAUCAUGACUCUUCCAGACAAAUGGAUGGAACUAGAAAAUACUAUGGAGAGUGAGGUAACCCAUACCCAAAGAACAUACAUGGUAUAUAUUCACUAAUAAGUUUGUAUUAGCCUAAACGUUCAAAAUACCUAGGAUACAACCCUACAGAAUUUAGGACAUUUAAGUAGCAGAAAUGCCAAGUGAGGAUGCUUCAAUUCUACUUAGUAGCAAAAAGGAAAAAAUCAUGGGAGAGGGAGGGAGGAUGGAGUUUGGGUGGGAGAAGGGAGGAUGAGGGAAAAAGGGUAACAGGGUGAGGUAUAGGGGUUGGGGAACAGAAGAAAAGCCCAGAGAACCAGCAGAUUGAAUGAAAAUAUGCAGACUCGGGAAGGAAGGAUGUGGGGAGAUUCUCUAGGAAGUAUCAGAGACCUGGGAGGUGAGAGACUUUCAGGGCUCAAUGGGAAUGAAUCUUAGAUGAAAUGCCCAAUAGUGGGGAGAGGGAGCUCAAAGAGUCAGCCUCCAGUAGAUAGGGCCUUAAGAGCAGGGAUGGUGUUACCAACUCACUCUCAAACUUUCUGAUCCAAAAUUGUUUCAUGUCUAAUGAACUACAUGGACAAAAAUGAAGAAGAGACCGAGGGAAAGGCAGGCCAGUGAACGACCCAACUGGGGAUCUGCCUUAUAGGGAGACACCAAGACCUGACACUAUUACUGAUGCUAUGAUGUGCUUAUAUAUAUAUAUGGGAGAAUUAGGAGAAAAUUUGAAGUAGCUGAAGUGGAUGGCAACCCCAUAUGUGUUCAACAAUGUCAACUAACCUGUAAUCCUGAGAACUCCCACAGACUAAACCACCAACCAAAGAGAACAUAUGGGCUACUCAGAGGCCCCAGACACAUAUGCAGCAGAGAUCAUGUCUUGUCUGGCAUCAGUGGGAGAAAAUAUGCCAAAUCCUAUAGAGACUUAAUGCCCCAGGGAAGGGGGAUGCCCUGUAACAAGGGGUGAGAAUAGUGGAGCACCUUCUCUGAGAUAAAGUGGAGGGGGAUAGGGUGCAGUACUCUGGGAAGGGAGACCAGGAGGGAAGGCAGCAUUUGGAAUGUAAAUAAAUAAACUAAUUAAAAAUAAAAUAAAAAUAUAUUAAAACAACUAUUGUUUAUUUGAGGGCAAUAAAGCAUUCCAUUUAUUUAAGAGAAUUCACUAAAGAGGGGGCCCCUAAAAAUGACAGCUUCAAUCCCAAUUGAUAAGUUUAAUUCAUUCCUUCUUGUUCUCCAAUAUUUCUAGGCUACACAGAGCAGAUGGCCCAAAUUGUUUGGUACCAUAAUAUAACAUCACCUAAGGAAAAUUUAUUUUUAUAUGAGAGAAUUAAGAUUGGCUUUCACUAUUACAGUAUAUUUGAUGAAAUAAGAAUAUUGGACUUUUUUCUGAUGUGAAUUUCAUUGCAUAUAAAAUUUACUUACAAGAUUCAGAUCUAAUGUCAUUUUCAUUUCCUAGACUGCUUAAUAUAAGACACCACUUUAGACUUUAAUCUCAGUGUGCCAAAAGAAGAAAAAUAUAAAGAGAAAUGUAAUAAUUAUGGCCAGUAUUAGUUUCUACUAACAAAAUUUUCCUAAAUUUGGGCAAUAUGGGGUGGGGGGGUUAAAUCUGUAUUUAAAACAAAUUUUCCCAUAUACCUUACAAUGAAUGAGCUUUGUAAGGUAUUUUAUUGUCAAAAAUAUAUGUACUCUGAGAGAUGAGAUAUAGCCCAGGUGGUAAAGUGCUUUCAUUUCAUGGACAACAUCCUGGGUCUGAUACCAGCACCAUAAAAACAACUAGAUUCAGUUGUGCAUGCCUCUUAUUCUAGUACUCUGGAGGUGGCAACAAGAGAACCAGAAGUUGAAGGACAGCCUCAACUAUAUAUUAAUCUUUAGAUCAGCUUAGAAAACAUGAGAAUGGGUCUCACAUAUGUAAGUAUCAAUCAAUUAUACAUAUUUAUGGACAGGUGUGUGUGUGUGUGUGUGUGUGUGUGUGUGUGUGUGUGUGUGUGUGUGUUCUCUUUAGCCUUAUAUAAACAUUUUUCUGUCUUUCUUUAGGCAUCCCCUCAAGACUCUCAGGUAUCUUCAUGGAAGUUACUCAUAUGCCUGAAUAGAAAGAAAUGUCUUUUUGUUGUUGAUGAUGAACACUUGUACUCCAUCAUGUAAUAUGUUUUUUUUCUUGUUUUUAAUUGGAUAUUUUCUCUGUUUACAUUUCAAAUGAUAUCCCCUUUCCCGGUUUCUACCUGGAAACUCCUAUCCGAUCCCCCUCCCCUGCUUCUAUGAGGGUGUUCCCCCACCCACUGACCCUCUCCUGCCUCUCCACCCUGGCAUUCCCCUACAUUGGGACAUCAAGCCUUCACAGGACCAAGGGGCUCUCCUCUCAUACAUUCUCAACAAUGCCUUCCUCUGCUACAUAUGCGGCUGGAGCCAUGGGUCCCUCCAUGUGUACUCAGAAAGACAUGUCUUAACAUGCUAUCUUGGGAGGUGACAUUAGGCUAUCUAUCCCCUCUUCCCAUCCUAAAAAAACAUGAUGUUGUUUUUUAAAAUUUGGGAAUAAAAGAGUCUAAUGAGUAUUUCAGUAGUCAUAAAUUGCUAUUUCUGUUAUUAUUGUUAUUAUUAUUAUUUAAAAAACACAGUGGAAACAAACUCUUGCAUAUGAUUCUUGGUCAGUUAAACAUUGUGAUUCAAAUGUAUAGGAUAUUGAGUUCUUAAAUGAGAGUGAAUAAAUAAAAAAUCAGGAAAGAUAAUAUCUAAGUUCAUUUGUGGAGUUGUUUAUUUGUGUUUUUUUCCUAUCAUGCUUUCCCAACACCUAUACAAUGAGGGACACAUAUAUAUAUAAUAUGGUAAAUAUAUUUGCAUAUUCAGUUUAUACCUGUUGAAAAGAAAAAAGGCAAUUUCCUCAGUGAGACCAAACAUCAUAAGGGAGAAAAUAGAGAUCUGAUUAGAUUCUAGUUGGUGAUUUAUGUAGUAGCCACCCUUAGUACCAACCUAAGUCACAACUGUGGAAUGCAAGAGGACAAUAUAUUUUAGAGUAGCUUCUCUCUGGGUUUUCGUUGUCUAGAAAGUUAGUUUAGUUCUGUCUUAUUCAACUAUUUUACAGUAACCUCUAUCCAUCUGGUAACAUGUGUCAGGAUCUGGUUCAUGUUCUGUUGCUUUGUCUACAAUUAAAUGGUUCUGUACAUUGCAAUAGCAUUUAUACACAUCCUGGGGUACCGUGUUUGCUAUAUACCACCUAUUUGUGGUCUAUGGUAAAUUUCUCCGUGCUUCGUAAUUAUGAGAACAUUGGAAUAAUACUAAUGACAUUUCAUAGGAUUGUAUAAGUGAUAAGUAAUUACUACAAUUAUGUGGCUUUCAUCCAGAAAAAAAAAUCCCUAAGACUUCCUGAUCAUCUUUACAAUCAUGACAGAUGAAGGACACAUGAGUACAAUCCUUAAGCCAUGCACACCUUUAUCUUCAAGAAUUAUGCAACAUGCCUGUCCUGAAUUCUGUCAGAUAACAAAAAAUACAAGGUAUUUUGCUUUUUUUCUCCCUAAUUCUAGUGUCUUUCACUUCUGUUUAUUUACAUUUUGGUUUAGUGUACUAUUGUUGUAUACAGAAAGAGCUAUUCCCUGAGGAGUGAGGUGACAAAGUGUCAAAGGCACUGAGUGAAGCCUUUCAUGCUCCAGGAAUACUUUUUGCACAGUUCAGUGGACUUUUGAGUUGCCUAUGGGGGUAACCUUGACUGUUGUAGUAAAAUAUAAGAGAUGCUUAGGAUGUUGUCUGUGAAACGUGAUGAAGUGCCUGUAGUGUUGUGAUAUAGUACAAGCAUAACCGACUUCAGGUUUUUUGUUCUUCUUCCUACUUUUAGAAUUUCCAGGAAUAUUCUUUCUUUUUGCCUCUAAAUAGAUCUGGCUGCUUAGAGGGGUUACUGAGUAAAUAAAGAACAAUAUCAUUUUUGAGACAUAGGAAACUGAUAUGUCUAUUAAGUGUAGUAAAUGAAAAAAAUCUAGGUUAUAGAACAUGACUGUAGUAUAGAACAUGACUAGAGUAAAGAGUCAUGUGUCAAUCAAUUUGCCUCACUGACCUAAAAGGAAAAAGACACAAUUAUUGAUCCACAUGCCACUUCAGUGCUGAUUCACAGAGGUCUGUUAACACUGUCCAUGCAGAAAAGGAGCCCCCAGUAACUAUGUCACUUCAUUUCAUGUGUUUUUAAUACAAAGACUAGAAGAAACACAAAUGAAACAAGCCAACAGUAUAUCAAUGACUAGCUUAAUAUAUAUGACUUCCUCAACUUUUAUACUGGUAGGAAGACUCACAAAGUUUAAAAUUUCCCAAGGAAGUAACUUCAAAUAAGAUGUUCAGGUGCUAAAAACAACAAGAAAGCUCAGAAGUCAGAUUUUAGACGUUGUAUAGUUUAAAACAUAUGUUUGCAGUGAUUUCCAAGUAUGAGUCUUGCAAAAUUGAUUUCAUUUUCUCCAAAAGAAAAUCACAAGGAUGAUAACAUCAAUAGACUAACAUCGUUGUGCUGAUUAAACGAGAUAGCAUAUAUAAAGUACUUGGCACACUCCAGAGAGUUGGUGAACAUUUUUAUCACUAUUGUUAUUGUUGUCACUGAAUACUUAAAGGACUACAGUGAUCCACAGGGAAAAUGAUGAUGGCUAUUAAUACAGUACUGCUAUAUUCAUAAUCUCAGCUCACCAUCUGUUGUUUAAAGAUAUAUUUCACGUAUUAGACCAUAGCUCAUAUCAUUUUAAUAAAAAAAUGCACUAAGAAAUAUAAAGCAUAAACAACAAGUAAAAUAAUUUCAGUUUUCAGGUAACAAUAAUGAGAUUCCAAUGUAGGAUUAUUUUACUAAUAAAACUAAACUCUUAACCUUAACAGUGCAAUGUCAAAAAUAGGGACUAAACCACCAGUCAAGUAGUAUACAUGAGCUAGUUCAUGGGUCCCACUUCAUAUGUAACAGAGGACUGCCUUGUAGAGGCUUGAUGCCCCAGACAGAGCAAAUGCUAGAAGGGUGUGGUGUGAGUGGGUAGGUGGGGGAUCAUGCUCUUAGAGGCAAAGCAGAGUGGAUGAGGUAAGGAGUUUGUGGAGGGGGGAGUUGGAAGGGGGUAACAUUUGAAAUGUAAACAAAUUAAAUUAUUAAUAUUUUUAAAGGAGGCACUUGUGUCCUUUCUUUAGCUACAAAACGAUUGACAUAAUUGUUCCCAAGAAAGUAGAAUUUACUUGGAAAUUUCAUGUGCAAUGUGGAAAACGAUGAGACAUGGCACUAGAAAGAUGGGUGGCUCAUCUUGCAGAAAGAGAUGUCAUAUAGUCUGACAAUUUGCCAGACCACCUUGUAGGUGAGACUAAGCAAAGGCAAUAGUAGACCAGUGAUGGAUGAGAACAUAUCUUCAACAGUACUGUCUAGUUAAGUAGGUAAGCCUCUUCAACUCUAGUAUACCUAAAUGUCAUGUCAGGUUCUUUAAAAUAGACAUAGCAGCUCAAUGAACCUCUUUAUCAUCUUCUCAGUAUGGAUACAGUUAAUAAUCUUUCUUUGCUUUUCACUGUGGAAAAAAAUAAAGUAUACCAUAAGUAUCCUCACUACAGAAACUCAUGCACACAUAUGAACACACACACAGUAUUAUCCACGUGUGUUGACAGAUGUGCUAAGUAAUUUAUUCAUGCUAAUAAUUUAAUAAUAUACUUAACACAAGUUAUAUACUAUAAGUACAUGCAAUUCAUAGUUAUCAAGGAUGCUUCAUUGAACCUUGAGAAUUCCUUUCAUUCAUUAUGCUAUAAUUGACAAUGGGUCUAUAUGUUAUUAUUACAAAUUAUUUUAUGUUUGGAACAUUAAAUCAGUGAUUUCAAUUGUAAGUACUAUUCAUUUUAAUUUUAUAAUAGAAUAUAGGUACAUUUUAUUUAACAUUAGUAGAGCAUUUUCAAUUAGAUUUGACCAGGGAACCCUAUUUCCCACACACUAUUAAGAAAAAUCAAGGGUAUUUUCUAUGAAGCCCUUGAGCUCUCUACAAUCAUUUCAAGUUGUGUCACUUUGUCAUUGUGUGUGUGCAUGUAUGUGUGAUGGGUUUUCUUCUAUGAAAGUGUGAGGUAGAAGUUCUUGUCUUAACAUGUCAUUUCCCCAUGGGGAGCUAUGGGAUCAACAGAGAAGCUGGGGAAGACUCUUAAUUUUCAACAUAAAGUCUCAUUGAUUUGGCUUAUCCCCACCUCCACAUCCUCUAUCCUAUAAGAAUAAUAAUGCAUUUUAUUUUCAUGGGGUAUACAAAACUUUUCAACUUCCUGGGUGGGAUACUGAAUCUUCCUAUUGGUUCUCAUCCAUGUGGACGUAUAUAAAAUAACCUCAUUUAUUACAUAUCUACCUAGUGGUGGAAGUAAUACUGAAUCUGUACAGAGUAUUGUUGGAGUCAAAAACAUCCCUAUGUGUUUUCUACAUGCUUUAAUUUCAUAUAAUAUUGGUCUAAUUUAAUUGGUGAAUAUAUUGUAUACUGUAUAAUAAACAUAUUAGCUAAUAUAUUAGUAGAAUUUUUAUAGUAAUCUGAGUGCCUAUAUGAGCAUAAUGGUGUAAAAAAUGAAAAGAUAGGUCCUUUAAUUUGCUAACCACAUAAGCAAUCUUUAAUACUCUUGGGGAUGAGGAUCUGGAUUCCUGAUCAAACACCUCUGGAACACAGAAAGGAUGACGUCUUGCUGCCUUCAAUAUCACUUAUUUCUACCUGGAAGACUAAAACAGAACAAGUGGCCACUGUUCCUGACGAAUGGAUACAAUUUCAAUUUUUCACAAUGUGAGUGUCAGAUUCAUCCAUUGUGCCAAAUAGAUCUGUCAAGUGACCUUGCCCAUUUACCAAUGGAUGGCCCACAUCAGAAACAUGUUGGGGCAUUUAAAGGACUAAAUGUCACAUUGUAGAUAUUGUUGUCAAUACAACACAUAUUGGCAUUCUGUCACACACUGACUUGGACUGUCACAGAAAAGCUCCAAUUCUCACAUAUGUAGGCUAAGCACCUUUGCAGCAUACAAUGGUUUUUUGCUUCUCACCCCCAAGAAGACCAUAACCAGCUUCAUGGACUUAGCAAACACCUCACUCUCCCUGACAACACAUGACUGCAUACAGGUCUCAACAAAGGAGCAGACAUUGACAGUCUUGUUCCUCCUACUUUUUUCAUGCUGUUAAGCUUAGUCUGUUCUUGUUAAUACUCAUAUUGACUUGUCCUUAUAUAAGAUCUCAUAUUUAAUAUACACUGCCACUUUCUGAACCAAGAUAAUCACAUGCACUAUACAGUGGUUUGUGUGUGUGUGUGUUUGUGUGUGUGUUUGUAUGUGUGUGUGUGUGUUUAUGUGUGUGUGUGUGUGUGUGUGUGUGUGUGUGUGUGUGCUGAUCAUCAUAGGGAUUCAAUCCGAGAGCAUGCUCCUUUGUUGAUAACUCAGUUAUGGCUCUAGGAUCAAUUUUUUCAAUUUGACUAGCACAUCUUCCUUUAAAAGAACUCUUGGUUUACUCUAUAAUGUCUUUAAAAGAAGUUAGAUUCUUCCUACACUCCUAACAAAAUAAGAGAAUUGUAUUCAUAUGUUCCCUACAAGGAAAUAAAUUGAUUAUGAAACACAAGAGAAUCAUUGAUAAUUUUCAAUAUAUCUGUGUUCAUUAAUGCUUUUGAACAAGCUGCAAAAUAUAAAAGAGUCUACAGUGUAAGAUUAUAAUUGAUAAAAUGAAAGUACAUAAACAAGUACCAUUAACAUUGUGAUACAAUAUACAUAUGUUAAUAGAAAAAUAGUAUAAGCCAAUUUAGAACACAGAUAAGGGUAAUUAAGUCAUUAAAAAAAUCUGAUCAUAAUAGGAAACACACUCAAACACACACACACACACACACACACACACACACACACACACACACACACACCUUGAAACAAGGCCUCACAAAUACAAUAUAGAUGACCCCUCUUCCAAAUGCUGGGGUUAUAGGCUUGUGGUAUCAUCUUCAUCUCACUUUCACAUUUAUUAGCCAAAUAAACAUAAGUAAGAUUGGGGUGUUAUGAUUUACAUAUCAGAAUGACAUCGAUGAAAGUAGUAGAAAAUGAUGGUAUUGGCAAAAGUGUGAUUUACCACGUGUGAUGUUGAACAAAAAAAUCUGAGUCACUUUUCAGGAGUAUAGAAUCAAUAUAUAAUAAUCCUGAAAACUGUCAUUCUAUUACUACAAAUUCAUUAUAAAGGAAUAAAAUAAUGGUUAACAAGGACAUAGGGAAAAGAAAGUUUAUAUCUUUCUACUAGCAAAUGAAGAGGAAAGGACAAUGGGGAUAUAGGGUAGUCACACAAAAAAAUAGAACAAUGCUAAGUUAUAAAGUGAUUGUUAGAGGGUUUUUGCUAAGUGGCGUGUAGACACUCAUAUUAUUUAUAAGCAUAAAUAUUUUUGCAACAUUCUUUGUUAAGGGUUCAACAUCUCUAGCCCACCAUGCAACAGAGGCAUUGGAAAAGAAAAGUUAUUAGGAUAUGGGGGAAGCAGACCUUUUCAGCAACAGUGCCAAGCUUGAUCUUCUUUGGCAGUAGCCCAGUCCCAUAGUAAACACUGAACAGGAUUCAGCAGCUGCAGACCAGUCGUCUGGGCAGACACCAGGCAUUACCCAGCAGCUACAGCAGACAGCAUGCAGCUGUAGUUAAAUCCUGAAGAAACUGACAGGUUCGCCAACUAGCCUGAAGUGAGGCAAUGAAAGCAGCAAGCUGCUGCAGGAACCUCAUGAACAGUUCUUGGGCAAGUUUCUCUCAAUGACAGCGUUACCACACGUUGAGUUCAAUAACACUACAUAAGGUGAACCAAUACAUGCGUGUCUUUUAGUGAAGAAUAGCGAGAGGGAGCAAAGCCAACCAAUGCUUAGCGCUCAUGUACCACUGUUUGUGGGGUCACAUUUAUAGUCCUUCAUCCUGGGUCUUUCCUAGUGUUUGCUAUAUUAAAACGUCCCUUCACCUGUGUCUGCUUCAGGAAAACAGUUGUUCCUGUGUCUGCUCCAGCAAAGCAUCCUUUCUGCUUCAGGAAAAUGUCUUUCCUGUGUUUGCUUUAGCAGUACAUCCUUUCACCUGUGUGGCCCAGCAAACAUCAUUUGACAUAACUUUCUAAAUAACUCAGAGAUAACAGGUACCUAACAGUUUACUCAUUUAAUGUGACAAUUAAUGAUGUCAUAUGCUUGUAUUGUAUUUGUGAUAUCCUGAAUGCCCUGCUGAAUGUUUGAAAACUUACCUAGGUCAUUUUUCGACAGUGGGGUUUUAUGUUAUUUUUUACUUGGUUUCUUUAUAACAUCAACAGGUUUAGUCUCUUAACAGUAAGGUUGUUACUUUUAUAACUUUAAAGAUAAUUAUUCUGAAUAACAAUAUUUUUUAAUCCUUUAAUUAUUGUGCACUGUGAUUCAGGGUGUUGGGGAAAUUAUCUCAAAUUAUUGAAAAACUUGGCUCAGUGUAUUGGAGCAAAGGAAAGUUUAGUACUUUUCUUGACAUAUUUAAAAUUUCAUUUCCAACAAAUUCAUCAUUCAAAAGUAGUAAAUCUUGCACAGAACAAAAGAGUUAGGGUGUAAAUAUGGUAAACACUUCCAGCAUGGAUAGAAACUUUGAAUAAUCUAUUUGAAAUUUAAUCACAGUGGCCCUAAGGUAGGCAGGUGGCCAGUGAAGGGAAAUACUAAUCCCCUUGACCUAAGAAAGACAAGAAUAAAAAGCAGUUUGAUCUCAAGUCUUUUGAUAAAAUAAAAGCAUGCAAGAAUCAAAUUAUACUGGUUAUUAUGAACACAUGCAUGCUCUCGUGCGCGCGCGCACACACACAAUUGUUACACCAUUUGUGGCUAACAAGACUGACUGUAUACAAUACAUUAAAAGCUCUCAAACAUGAUAGAGACAGUUCUAGAACAUCUCCAUUUGUAGUAGAUUGUUACUAUGUGACAAAUUACCUCCUCCCCCAAGGACAGGAGCUACUUAUUUGCAAGAAUUCUUCCUUUUUUUCUUCUCAGAUAAAUUUAGAUUCACACAAUGAGGACACCAGACUCCUUAGCCAAUCUGCAGACAAAUGACCAGCUAAGUUCACAGGAAACCCUGGAAAACAAACAAUAAACUCCUAAUAUGUCACAGCACUGACAUGUAAGGGCCAUCAUGUUAGUGUUUCUUAUUCAUUUCGUCUUUAGAAUUUACACUGUUUAUUUGAAAAGGUGCCUGUAUGAAACACAUUCAAUUGUUGUUCACUGAUAACAUGUAUAUAUUUACCUCUAUGAAACAUUUCAUGGGUUACUUUGCAUUUUACAGUGUUUAGUGUUUAUAUUUUCCACCACAGAUGAAAGGUCUUUUGAUUCUGCAGAAACUGUGAUCCAUUAAUCUUUAAUUAAUUAACUAAUUAAUUAACAUCCCGAGUACUGCCCUUCUUUUUUAACCCUCUCUGAGACCCUCUCCCACCCCUCUUCCUGUCUCCACCCAGGUACAUUAGUCUUUAAGUGUGAUUUUUUUUUUGUUAAUUUGGGAAGAAUGUCACUAUUUAAACCACUCAGGUUUUGGACUUGUCAGCCUCCUAAGUACUAGGGUUGCAAUUUGGGUAAGUGUUGAGGUUACAGGCAUAUAAUAAACACAAUAAAGUCCACCAGUUUGAGACAAGAGUCCAAAUUGGAGAUAAGAAGGAGGACUAUACAACCAGAGAGAUUUUCUGGAAGAUGAAGGAAUGAGAGCUAAAAUCCUGAAGGAUGCUUACUAAUAAAGAAAUCAGACAGGGACACGUGGUAGUGAACAGACUUGUCGAGGAAGUUAUUCUAGAAAGGGAAAUAUGUGAAAACAGCAAAUGGAAAAUAUGACAACACUCUUAUGUACUUUUUGAACUCUAAAUAAAUUUCCAAAAGAUUCAUAUUGUUUGUUUGUGAACAUUAAAAACCUUUUGUUAACUUCUUCUAGAACUUUCUUAAUCUUGUGAGAACAUCUGCAGAGAAAAGGAUGUCAUUCCAGGAUAAUCAACUGCAAGUUGCUAAAUUAAGAUCAAACUGUCCUUAACCUUGAACAUUUUUUCUAAGAGAUUUUAGAAGAAAGAGGUUCCCUGGGGAGUUGGGUAAUUAUAUGAUUGUACCCUUCCUAAGCGGCUAUUUACAGAUAAGGAUUUUCUCACCAUUCUUUAGAGUUAAAUAUAUGAAUUAAAACAGUUAGGUAGUGUUUCUUUAGGAGCAGGCCUGCAGAGAAAGUACGAGCAAACUGUGUUAUACAACUCAUGUAGUCCUUGCUCAAAGCCUGGGUUUAUCAGUCCCCAAACAUUCCUCAAAGGCAACAUGGUCAGUUUCUUACUAUGACUAAUGAGAAUGAAGCUGUAGUCAUUUUGAUUAUUUGGGGCAGAUAAUUGGCUCCCUAACUUUUAGCUUGCUUUUUAUUCCAUCUUUUUCCCAUUUUCUUUCUGAAACAAGCAUGAACGUGAUUGGUCAGAGAUUACAAAGUUGUAUUGAUGUUAUGGGACAUUACAGUGGCAAAUAUACAAGGAUUCAGGGUUAGAGGGAAGAUAGGUCCAGUCCCUUAAGUAUCUGAGCUAUCACAGGAGACACUGUCUCUAAGCUUAUCACAAAAGGAAAUAAGGCGAGUCACUUGCAUUUAGCUUCUCACCAUUUAAAGAAAAGUCCCUGCAAAUGAAUACUAAAUCCUAACACUGUUCUCCCGCAUCCUGAGGCCCAUGUUUCUAUUCCUCUUUUAACUGUUUAGUCAGAAAUGUUUAGGUUGAAUAAGCAAAAAGAGGCCCAUUCUUCUAGAAGUUGUGACUUUCUUAAUACUAGUAUCUUUACGGUCAUUUAUCCUUUUUACUAUACUUAGAGUCUGGUCGUACACAAAUGGAGAAUAUUUGACUUAGGUCUACUUAGAAAAUGGUUAAGCACAGUAAGUAAAUGGUUCAGUACAGUGAAAGAUUCCAAAGCAGAAUAACUAAGAGGCUGAAUUUCAAAUGUGGCUCCAAAAAGCCUAAGUAAGUGAGGUCAUUGAUCCACUCAUUAGCUUGCUUUAAUCACACACAAGAUAUACCUGCAUUAUCCUCUAUAAAUGCAAUACAAUUAUGACACAUCAAUGGAAAGCAAUGCUGAAAGUGGACUAUCCAAUCAGAAUUUCUAGAUUUGAAUUCUUAAUCUUUGAUGUCUAGUUAUAUAUCUUAGGCAAACUAGUGAAAAACUGUGGACAUCCCAUUGAGUAGGGACAGUAAAGAACACCUAUCUAAUAUAUUGACAACUUUAAAUGGGAUAUUGCAGGCAACAGUGUUAUAAUGAUACAUGAAUAAUUUGUAAGUGUAUUGUGACUUUUAGGUUGUUGGGGUAGAUAUGUUUUAUCAUCCUGAGUUCUGUGUGAAGAAGUUAUUCAUAAUCACCACCCCCCAAUCUUAUACUAAAGAUGGUUUCUGUUAGCUCUUGUUUCUCAAUGUGUGACCAGUGGUUCAAAAACAUCUAUGUUCUGGUGAGAAAUUGAAACUAGUGCACCCAAACCUCUGGGGAUGGAGUCCAAGGUUCUGUUUUAACAAGAACUGUAUAUGCAUUAGACACAGGAAACUGGAAGACAAUUACAAACUAAGAUACCAAUAUGAGACUCUCCUCAAGAUGAUCAAAAAUCAUACUGUGUACACCUGUUCAAUUGGAAUCUGAUGGACAGACAUGCUUGCCAAGUCCUUUUUCUUGCCAAGUGGAAUCUGAUGGACAGACAUGUUUGCCAAGUCAUUUUUCUGGUAUAGUAAUGUCUGAGAAUUUCUGAGUGUAAGAGCAUUUGCAUGUGGUGUAUUCAUGAGUGUAUACAUGUACAUAUGCUUACACCGAGGUCAGAGUUCUGUGUGUCCCUUGGCUGUUCUUAUUCUCAGUUUGAGAUAGUAUUUGUCACUGAAUGUGAGAGCUCUUCAAUUACUAUCUUGGAUAGGCAAUGAGCUCCUUGGUUCUAUAACUCUCUGUUUCCCCAGCCAGAUGUAGAGAUAGAUGUACACCAUGAGCCAGGCUAUAAAUGAAGAUACCGGGGGAUGGGAUCUGAACACACACCCUCUAUGUGUGUGUGUGGCAUUUUAUCUCCACAGCCCCAUUUCUGACAUUCCUAAUGUAUGAUGGCCUGGUCUUCAUUCUUCCUUGACCAAGAGCAUUUGUCACUGUGAUUGAACUCACCAUUUAGUUUAUAUCUAUCUCUAGAAUCUCUAGUACAGAGUACAAUUCCAGACACAGAAACAACAAUGCCAUACUAAACUACCUUCCCUGCAAAGUCUCAGCAGAUUUCCAUGAUGAACUACUUCAGGGAGGGAAACAUUACACUCAUAAAAACGCAGCUUCAGAAGUUUAAUGACUUGAAUAUUUUUGCCAUUUACUGAGAUCCGGUCAUUUGAAAUAAUGCAUAUUUAAUUUUAAUUGCUUGUCUCUUAGUCAGCAUUUGCCAUCUUCAGUCAGAGAGAAAGAAACAAAUACAAUUAAAUAUUUACUUUCCAAAAUUGGCAAAUGUAAAUAAGUGUGAAAUAAGUUUAAAUAAUUAAAAUUUCAAGUGAGUUUAUGGGGUAUGUUUGUAAUCGUAUCCUUCUGAGGCUAUUAAAGAUUAAACUGCACCAAAACACUUGGGACAGUCAAUAUUAGUCUUAAAUAAAUGUAAUUCUGUUGCAGAAAUUAGAAGAAAUGUUUCUUCAAAUAUAACCACAAUCUUGAAAAAAUGUCAAAAAAGUGUGUGUGUUUGUGUGUGUGUGUGUGUGUGUGUGUGUGUGUGUGUAUGGCUACUCAAAGUUUCACAUUCUACCUCCUUGGAGAAGACCAUCUUCGAAAUAUUUCUGACUGGAUAUACUUGUUUGUAAUCUUCAAAAUUGUGCUGAGCCCUACUGUCUCUCUUGUGAAUUAUAAAAGAGAACAGUUUUCUCCCCUUGAAAUAAAUUAUCAUAUGUAUCUUUCAGGGAUUCCAAGGGAUAUGUUUUUAAAACCACUUCUUUUUCCCAAUAAGGAAGAUACUAGGGGCUCCUGGGCCACCAGGACAUUGGCAAGUGCUUAAUCACACUAGAGAUAUGAGGCCUUCAUUUGAAUUGUUAUAAACAAUAUUGGGCAAUGGCAGAUAGAUACAGGCUGAUGAUAACUUGAUGCUUCUUUGUACACAGGACCAGUGAAACCAUGAAUACACCUACUUCCCAGGCUCAAACUGUGUUCAUUUGAUCAUUAAUCAAAUGCAAAAGUCAUAGGACUCAAGUAUUGUGAAAUCAGGCAUCCAGUGCUUAUGAGUGUGUCUUGGUAGCAUUAGUAGAAGCUUGGCUGUACUCUCAUGACCAAGGCUUAGGGAAAUCAGCCUAAAAUCCCUCUGAAUGCAGAGGGAGAAUCAGAGUGUGGUGGGCAGUUCACUACCCUGUUGAGUGUACUCCAGGGACUUUGGACAGUUUAAAAGAAUGAAGUGCUGUUAUAAAACAGACCUUAUGCAUAUCUGAACACAGUAAUAAUAUUCAUUAGAAUUGGAUUUCUUUUAGCCUUCUACAAAACUGUAAUCAGAUUAAAUUAUUAAAAUAGUUGAAGUACAUGUAGAAUGUAUUUACUCCACUCAAGAAGAACUUAUUUAUUGAUCACAGAGACCUAAUAUCAAAGCCUACAUCCACCAUAUAAUUAAUAGCAUGUGAAAGUAACCACCUGUGAGGGAAAAUUCCACAUGUACACACUGAGACAUCAUACUAACAACAUUUUCAUUAUACGUCAGAUCAUUGUCAAAAUAUAGUCACAGGAUCAGCUAAUGACAUUGUACCUAACAAGUAGUCAUGGAAGCAGUUAAUAUUAAUAUGGGGCAAACAUGUUAACCAGCAAAUCUCUAGGGCAUUGACUCCAGCCAAGAAGACCUUGCAUCGUGUGAUGAUUCCUUGACGCUACACACACUCUCUCUCCCCCUCUCCCCCUCUCUCUCUCCCUCCUUCCCUCUCUUCCAAUUUAAAAUGAUGGGAGAGCUUGGUGUGGUUAUUAACACCUGCUCUAGCACUUAAGAAGCAGAGGAAGGAGAAUUGUUGUAAGUUCCAGCAGAGCCUGGGCUAUAUAUAGUAAGAUCCUGUAUCAAAAAUAAAUAAGUUCAGGGCUAUGGAGGUGUCUCAUAUUUUAACCUCUUCCAGGGGUGCUCAUUUCAGCUCAUAGCAUACACAUUACUGACAAGCUGCAAUUACUUCAUUUCUAGGUGGUUCAGUACCUUCUGACCUCAACAAGCGUGCAUUCAUAUGGUACACAGACAUUAGAAUAAAUAAUAAUGAACUAGCUAAAUGUAUGUGUGUGGGGGUUCCCCUCUAAGAUGGUUCAAUGGGUUCAAUGGAUAAAGACACUUUCCACAACCUCUGACAAUCUGAAUUUCCUUCCCAGGAUCAAUACAGUGGAAGAAGAGAAAAGAUUCCUGAAAGUUGUACUCUGACAUUCACAUACACACCAUUGCAUGAGUGUCAAUGCAUAUACCUGGAAAUCGUACACUACACAUGGAGAAAUACAAAUAAUAAACACACAUAAAAGUCUCUAUUUUAAAUAGAUAGAUAGAUAGAUAGAUAGAUAGAUAGAUAGAUAGAUAGAUAGAUAGAUAGAUGAAUACUGAGGGAAGGAAUGUGAACAAACUUGAAAUAACAGUAUUUCAUUGUGCUAUUUCUCAGGAAAGAAACUUUCAGGUUUAAUAUUCACCUUUCAAGCCCACUCUAACUCUGUCAUGAUCAGGUGAUGUCACUGUAAAUGGGUUAGUCAAUGAUUUGUUCAAUAAACUAAGUUACAAAAGUGAUAGUUCAUAGGAUUGAUAGAGAGUACUCAGGUUUAUCAGUAGAUGACUCACAUAAGACAAAGAGGUUCAGGGUGAAAAGCCCAUAUUCAAAACACUUUUCAUAUAUUUCAUUUUUGUUUUUGUUUUUAGAUUUUGGAAUGUUUGCAUACAUAUAAUUAGUUAUUUGACUAAGGGCAACCAAGUCUAAGCAUGAUACUUACAUAUCAUGUAUUCCUUAUGAAUUGUGAUUUUACAAAUUACUCUGAAUGUGUUAAUACUCUAACUGUAACUCCUCAUAUGAGGUCAGAUAGAAUUUUCCACAUCUGGUACUAUAUCAGUACUCCAAUAGUUUCAGAUUUGGGUCUGGGGAGAUACUUCAGUGAGUACAACCCUUGCAGUAUAAGCAUGAAGAGCAAAAUACAAAUCUUCAGAACCCAGGUAAAAACCAGACAUUGCUGCACACAGCUAUAACCCUACUCUUUCUAUUGUGGUGGGAGGAGAGCCAGGUAAAUCCUUAGAAACUUGAUGGCCAGCUAGUCUAGUAUAAUGGGAAACAACUAAGAAAAAUUACCUGGCCUCAAACAAGGCAGAAGGUAAACAGCUGCACUCAUGUUUGCUCUCUAACUUACCCACGUGCACAGAGGUUUGCAAGCACACAUUCAUAAAUUCACACACAAACUUACACACAUGAACAUGCAGAAGCACAAAUACAUAAAUAAAAUGUUCUAUAUUUUGGAACAUUUUCAGAUUUCAUAUAUUUGAAGUAAGCUUGCUCAACUUCUAAGCAAUCUAAAAGGACAGAAUAAUGACCUGAGAAUCAGGAAUUCUCUAAUAGCUCUGUUUUAUAAACUUACGCAUUUAGAGUGCUUCCUUUCUGCAAAGCUGUUUUUGUCAAACUUUUCAUGUACUCUUGAUGAGCGAGCAUAAUUCAACAAAACCCAAAUAAAUGUUUGCAGAAGCCCUGAAGGAUGGGAAGUAAGGAGUCAGAUGCCACAGGAGAUAAUUGUACUUAGGAUGAGUAAGACCCCACACUUGACCUCAGAUAAAUUAACUUUAAAUAGAGUGGAUGAGUCAGUGCCUGGAAUGUAAAAAUUCUAAAAGAUCAAGGUUAAGUACCAAAUGAACAUGUAGGGAUUUUAAAGAAGGAUGUGCAAAAAUAGUUACUUGAUAGAGGAUAGCAUGAAAAGAAUAGAUCUCUUUCAGUCUUGGAAUAGGUUUUCAUUACCUCUUGGUAUUGAAGCUAAUGCCACAUGAGGGAUAGAAAGACAGAGGUACCAGUAUCUUCUCUAGCCUUACAAGAGUGGAUGAAAGACACACUUCUAACAUGGUGCAAUUCGACAACAGUGGCAGACUCUUCAGGUCAUAGAAGCAUGAGUUGAAACACCCUGGCUUCAUCUCUCUUACGGGGAGUCUCAUUGCUUAUCUUAACACCUCAAUGUCUUUAUCUAAAUCACAUAAUGACUUCUUCAACAAAAGUAGGAGAACAUAAUGAUAGACAGAUAAUAUGGUCAGUUAACGCAAAGAAAUCUCUCAGGAUGGUUGGAGAAUGAUGGAAGGAUGAUGAGGAUGGUAAGGGUAAUAGUGAUAAUUGGAGUGUUACAGCCUCCCCCCCGGCUCUGAGUGGGGGAUACUUAAAAGAUAUCUCAGUUCUUGCAGUGUAGAAAUGUAGGACAUCUGUCCAAUGAUUGUGCACUGCUCUAGAGGAAAAUCUUUUAGAUGUAUUCACCUGUUUAGUGUAAAUGCUGUGGUGGAUGUAGUCAUAUUAGAAAUGCCUAUUGAGUGUUUGCUAUCAGCCAAUCUAAUUGCCCUUCAUACUUCAUAGCAAGAGUAUGUAACAGUUCCUAAUACAAUUGCUGCCUUUUAGAUAUAAACUCAAGAUUAAUGAGGUUACAACAGCUCAUAUUCUAUUGUCAAUAUGAUGAAAAAUUUCAAACUGUCUCAUUGGGUGCUGCUCAAUUAGAAGAGGAUAAUGUUAAAUAUUUUUGUCUUUGUCUGUACUCUCAUUCUGAGACAUAGGCACUUGUAGAUAGUAUUUUAGGUCCAGAGAAGUGGCACUCGCUUCUCCUUGAUUCUGCUUUGCUUCUAUACCUAAAUUCUCCUUUUACACAAGGAAUUAUUUCAAAGAAAAGCACUGUCUGUGGAAGCAUAGUAUUUCAGGGUGAUACUUAAAAUCAUGUUCCAGGGAAGAGUGGGUUCACAGAUAUGUCAGGGCUUAGUUAUGGGAUAAUGCCAUAAGGUUCCAAAAUUACAACACUCACUAUAGUGAAAGGAAGACUAACACUACCUAUGACACAUUAUGUGUCAUAAGCAUAGAACUAAGUGACUAACAUGAAUGAUUAUAUGUAAGCCUUAAUUCUUCUAAGAAUAGAACUAAAAUUAUUAUUUAAUGGUAGGAAUAGGGAUUCCUACAUAUUAGGCUGAGUAACAAGCUUACAUAGUUAACUAAAGUGGGAGGUCAGCUAUAUCUAACACCUGCAUUCUUUUCAGAUAGGAUCUCACUGUGGAGUUCGGGGUGUCUUUAAACUUAUCAUCUUCCUGCCUCAGGCUCCCAAGACUUGGGCUUGUAAAUAUGUUUCAUCAAGUCAAGCUAGCACCUCUACUGUUAAGGCUCCAAUGCUUCUCAUUGAAAUUAAAUCACAAUUAUAAGAAGUCAUUCUUGCCUUGUAAUGUCAAACAAGUACAAGGAAGAGUUGGGAGAUGGCUUAGGUAGUGUCAGGUGAGGCCGUGCUGACAAUUUCAAAGCAAAUUAUUUGUUUGAUGAAAAACAGUCUUUUUUGCACUUCUCAACCGGUUAUCAAGAAACAGCAAGCAAAAGGUAGGCAGUAAUAAUAUGCCCCAAUGAGGCUAGAGAAACAGCAGAUUUGACACUGAAACAUACCCAUUCCAUAAACAGUGGUUGCCAGUUGCUAUUCAAGCUCGAAAUUCUUCUUCAACUCACAAAUCAAAAGGUAACAUUUUAUUUCUGUAGGUCAACUUUUUUGAAUUCUGUCAUUCACCUACUGUCCCGUUUCACUGUUUAUGCAUAAAAAUAUGUUAAAUCAAAUGCAAAAGCAUUGAGUGAUAAGGAACCGUGCUGUCUCAGUUUAUGGUUGUUGAUAUUUUUUCCAUCUUAAUUCUAUUAUGCCAACUCCAUCCAACUUAAUUAUAAUGAAUAGAGAAUUACACAAUUACCCUCUGUUCAGUUCCUCAGAUGUUGUAUUUUGAUAAAAUUCACUACAUUCUGCUAUCUCCCUGAACACUAGAAAUUGAUGUGUUUUGAUACAAAAUGUGUUGUAAUUACAUUUGAAAUAUAGCUUACAUAAUGAUAAUGUUAAAAUAAAAUUAUAGAUGUAUAGAGACAACAUGGUCAUGCAUUUUGAGUAUAAUUCAUGCUUAAACCAAAAUCUGGUAGUUGAAUGAUGAACAAACAUGAUUUUCAAUUAUCCACAGAGGGUGUUCAGUAGUUUUAAAGUAUCUAAUAUCUAAAGCCAGCUUAAAACUAGUGAGCUGAAAAAAAAAUCUCACACAUAUGUUUUCAGUUUAAAGGGUAAUUUGAAGACUGGAAAGAUGGCCUGUCUUUGUCACAGGGGUAUUUCCUAAACAGAACUCCAAUGGCUCAUGCUUUAAGGUCAAGAAUUGAUAAAUGGGACUUCAUGAAACUGGAAAUCUGUAAGGCAAAGGACAUAGUCAAUAAGACGAACUGGCAACCUACACGAUCGGAAAAAAAAAAAAACAAAAACAAAAAACAAAAAACAAAACUUCACUAACUUCAUAUCCUAUAGAGGGCUAAUAUCCCAAGUACAUAAAGAACUCAAGAAGCUAAGCACCAAAACAACAAACAACCCAAUAUAAAAAGGAUGGUGGUGGUAUAGAACUAAACUGAGAGUUCAAAACAGAGAAACCUUGAAUUGUUGAGAAGCGCCUAAAGAAAUUUUCAACGUCUUUAGUGAUCAGAGAAAUGCAAAUGAAGAUGAUCCUGAGAUUCCACCUUAUACCAAUCAGAAUGGCUAAGAUCAAAACCUCAGGUGACAACACAUGUUCGUAUGGAUGUGAAGAAAGAGGAAUGCUCCUCCAUUGCUGGUGGGAUUGCACACUGGUACAACCACUCUGGAAAUCAAUCUGGAACUUCCUCAGAAAAUUGGAAAUAGAUCUACCUGAAGACCCAGCAAUACCACUAUUGGGAAUAUACCCAAAAGAUGUCCCAGCAUGCCAUGGGGGCACAUGUUUCACUAUGUUCAUAGUGGCUUUAUUUGUGAUAGCCAGAAGCUGGAAACAACUCAGAUGUCCCAAGAUAGAAGAGUGGAUAGAGAAAUUGUGGUUCAUUUACACAACGGAAUACUACACAACUAUUAAGAAGGAGGACACCCUGAGUUUUUCAGGCAAACAGUUGGAACUAGAAAAUAUCAUCCUGCGCGAGGUAACUCCGACCCAAAAGAACAUACAUGGUAUGUACUCAGUAAUAAGUGGAUAUUAGUCAAAAAACAUACAGAAUAGACAGGAUACAGUCCACAGUGAGGAUGAUUCAGUCCCACCCACUCAGGAGGGUUAUGAAAGCAACCACAAGAAGGAAAGGAGGGAGAGACCUAGGAGGUCAGAGAGGGGAACAUGAUCUGGUAUUGGGUGGCAGACAAGGACUGAAGCUCUAAGGGUCAGUAGAAAGGACAGAAAUAGGCAACCUCAAGAGAUAUGAGGUUACGGUUACCCUCCAGAAUAUAUCAGAGACCUGGACAGUGAGAUACUCUCAGAACUCAAAGGGCGGGACCCUAGAUGAAAUGCCCUACACUGGGGAGAAGGAACUUGUAAAGUUCACCUCUAGCAGAAAGACAGGCCAUCAAUUGAGGGAUGGGUUGCUAUCCCACAGUCAAACCUCUGACCCAUAAUUGUUCCUGUCUGAAAGAACUACAGGGAAAGAAAUGGAGAAGAGCCUGAGGAAAAGAAAGUCCAGGAAGAUUCUCAAAGUGGGAUCCACCCCAAUGGUUGACACUAUUACUGAGGCUAUGAUGUGCUUACAAGAAGGGAUCUAUCGUGACUGCCCUCCAAAAGACCCAACAAGCAGCUGAAAGAGUCAGAUGGAAAUAUUUGCACCCAACCAAUGGACAGAAGCUGCUGAUCCCUGUGGUUGAAUUGGGGAAGGCUGAAAGAAGCCAAGGAGAAGGGCGAUUCUGUGUAAGGACCAGCAGUGUUAAUUAAUCUGGACCCCCAAGAACUCUCCAACACUGGACUACUUAAACAGGCAGCAUAAACCAGCUGAUAUGCGGCCCCUAACACACAUACAGUAGAGAACUGUCGGGUCUUUGUUCAUUCAGAGAUGAUGCAUCCAGCUCUCAAGAGACUGGAGGUCCCAGGGAGUUUUGAGGUCAGAUGGGGUGGGAGGUGUGGACAUCUACAUGGAGACAGGAGAUGGGGAGGAGAUAUGGGAUGUGAAAUAGAGGAUGAGCAGGGUGGGGGAGAGAAUAAAAUAUAGAAUGAAAAAAAAUUAAAAAGAAGAAGAUGAAAGAAAAAAGAGAUAGAAGAACAAGAAAGAAACAAUCUCAAUUAUUCUAUUUACUAAGCUGAUUCCAAAUCCCUCAGAAUUGCUUUGCUAAAUCUAUACUUUACAUCUCAGUGUUAAACUCGCUUUUCUAGAUGCCUGAGUUCCAAACCCUGGGUUUAAACUUUUCCCUGUUCUUGCCUUCAUUUCCCCCAUUUUCCUCACCAUUAAAUUUUAUCUAAAGAUUCAAGAGGUGUCUUUUAGAAACCUCUACUUAUAGCACCCUGGGUAAAAUUACCAACCUAACAUCACAUGAAUCUCCUUCCUACCUAUUCUCAUUGACCGCUCUUUGCUCUCAUCCUCAGUGCCACAGACAUAGUUAGCAUUUUAAAGAAUACAGAACAUCUUAACUCCUCUGUUAAAAUUCCACCAUUGCCUGCCUAUGUUUAAUGGGGGAAUAAAACAAAACAAAACAAAACAAAACAAAACAGAAAGAUCUAUGACAAGGCCUUUCAUCAACUGCUCAUUACAGCCUUGGCCCCCAAUCUUGCUGAUAUUUCUUCCUCCCCAUGUCAUCUUCCAACAUGUCAGUGCCAGGUUUCCACCUUAAUGGUUGUGCCAAUGGUCAUUGCAGCUUCUGGGCAGGAGUGGUCCCCUGAAAGUUAUCUGCAUGCUCAAAUAUGACUUCAAGUCCUUACCCAAAUAUCACCCUUCAGUUCCACCCUGAAUAUCAAAAUAUCUUAUUUAUAUUUAAAGCUCACCUUUAUUUUCCUGUAAAUGAUAAAAGAGUAUUUAGUGUGCCCCACAUCAUUUUUAACAGUGCUGAGUUCUUUAUGUACUAUAGCAUUAACUUAAAUCACUUAUUUCUAUGAAUACCAAUGUAUCAGAGGGAGGGAAGAAAAUUCUUUUUAAAUAGAAUGUCCAAGUUGUUAAAGACAUACACAUAGAAGAGGCUUAGUGACUAUUUCUGAGUAAAACUACAGGUAAUGAAAGCAGAAGUAAGCCUAAAAGCAUUCAACUAAGAUGGUUGAGGUUCUGCAGUUAGGGAAGAAUAGCAAUGGAAUUUUAACUGAGAAGUGAAUGCUGUCCAGUAUUAACUACUCUAAUCCUAAAAGUGCAUAAUUAUUUGGGAAAAGGCAUAUCUGCCUGCAAUUACAGGACUUGGGAGGCAGGGGCAGGAGGAGAGCUGAAACUUUGAGGGCAACCUCAUCUACAUGAUGAACUUAAAGUCACCUAGUACAGCAUAUCGUAGUCCUGUCUGGAGAAUAAACUUAAACAAAAUAAAGAAGAAAAGGAAUAAAAGUUAAAUUUCAUAGAAUUCAUUUUAAUCAAUGUAUGAAACUAAUUUAAAUUACUAAAUCUCAAUCUCUGUCCCUAUCUAUCUAUCUAUCUAUCUAUCUAUCUAUCUAUCUAUCUAUCUAGAUACAUAUUUAUGUGUAUGUCCAUAUGUUUUGAAGUAUAUAUGUGUACCCACAUAUCCAUACAUACAUAUAUAUAUAUAUAUACAUAUGUGUCUAUUCAUAAUAUAAUAUAAAUGAUGUUAUAGAGAGACCUUCCAGGAAAGAAACAGAGAGAAGAGUACAACACAUUAUAGUUAUUAUACCUAUUCUCCAGAAAAAUUAAUACUUAUGAUUAUUUUGCAGUAGGAAAACUUAAAAUAGGAAAGUAGGAAAACAGAAGAAUAAUGAAAUUCAUUGAACACUCAGGGCAUGUUAAAGUCAGCAUUAAACCAUUUACACGUAAUCCUCAAUAUUAUUCUAGCAGAUGGGUACGAUUUUAAAAUUAUUUAUUUAUUAUUAUAUGUAUAAAGUGUGCACACAUGUAUGUGUGUGGGUGUGUACAUGCAAUGGUACUUAUGCAGAAGUGAGAGAAAAGCUCGUUGGACUUGGUUCUCCACAUCAACAGUGGGUCCCACAGAUCUCUCAUGUCAUCAGCACUGAAAACUAGUUCCUACACCUUCUAAGUCAUCUUGUGUGCCCAGGAAUAUUUUUAUUAUGCCAAUUUGAAAGAUACAGUCACUGAUGAUAACUGUAAUUCAUGUUCAAGGAAAUCAGCAAGAAAACAAAAUUGACACAUAAUAAGUGUAAACUUAGAUGCAAUUCUUGAACUUGGCUGUCUACUCCUGCCUGCAAACUGAGAGGCAGGACGGGUUUUCUAAUGAGAACCUUCCCUGCGAUGUCUGUCUGAAUUGCCACCCUUGCAUAAGUCCAGCUUAAAACACAGUAAACAUGCUUCACUAUUUCAACAAAUAGAAAUACCGUCCUCUAAGUAGUCAUGCUGCCAGACCGAGCCUUUCUUUGUGGCUUAGCUGAUACCUUUCAUCAGCACCCAGAACAAGCAGCAGCAGCUGUGCCAUGAAGAAAGCACAACACUCAGAGAUGGAGAAUUCUGCAAAUGACCAAUUAUAAAACUAUUAAGCUGCAGCACUUUCUGAGCAAGAGGCAAAAUAAUCCAUUAAAGUGGAUAUUCCUAUCCUUCCCUCAAAGGCCCACACAAACAUUAGGGUUGCAUUUGUUAGGAUGUACUUUAUGCGGUCCAUCAACCUGACUUUCUGCAAUUGUAUUAAUACUGUUCCCUCACUUUGUGCAUAUAUCUGAAUGAUGGAUUUCUUCACUUGAGUUCUUGAGAAAGUAGGGUGAAUGAAAUAAAGUUUAGGAUGAGCUGUCACAAUCCAUAAUGACAGGCACUGAAUUGGAACAAGAGGAAACAUCUUUUCUCAUUUAUUUAAUAAGAGACAGUUACUGUGUGUUUAUGUCCAAAUGCCUAGCUACUGGCUGAAUAAUGGAGACUCUUUCACUGGGGGACAAUAGUUUGUGUGUUAAAUUUCUAGGGGUUUACACAAUUAAUCAUGCUCCACAUUUGGAUUCAGUAUUUCUAAAAAGAGAUAUGGUUAAGUAAUUGACAACUUUGAUAUCUUUAAGCCAUCAUGAUUUCAGGGUAAGGGAAUGCAUAAUUAUUUUUAAGCAUUGUUGCAUUUGCAUAACAGUUAAAUGCUAUGAAAAGUGUUUAAUUAUCUUGAUGUUAUCAGAAAGGAAGGAUUGUGUGAAUACAUUUUGCAUGCCAACCAGGUAGGUGACUUUAGGCUGCAAGGAUCUCUUUUUAUAAUGUGUAGUAUAAUAAAAUGGGCAUGCCGAACUACUGUAAGAACAUAAUGGUAUUACAUUCUUGGAAGAACAUGGCACAGUUACACUUAAAAUUCAAACAAUGACUAUCAUUACUAUCAAUGUUGAAAGUAUAUUAAAAUUUCUCAUAAAAUGUAAGGCAUAACCUAUAUCACUAUAAAGUCACAUAAAUUAUUUUUGAAGUUAUGAUCUAUUAACUUGGCUGAGGGAACAUUUAAUACUUAAAUGCAGUGGGAAAGAAGUUAAUUGUUAAAAAUAUAAAUCUCAUACUAUUAAAAUCCAUGUCAUGAUAUUUCUAUCAGCUAAAUAUUUUAUUUAUAAAGUGUCUCUCUAUAUCUCUGUUUCUGUCUGUGUGUGUGUGUUUAAAACAUUAACAUCUAUGUAGUCAUGUCAACUCACAAGACAUCCAUUAAUUAAUUAGUCUGACAUUACAUUGCAUAAUUAUUUUCCUGCUAAAUACUGAUCAUGCAUUUUAGUUGCUGGGAACAUGAGUUUGCAACUAUUCUUAAUUACCUAUUUAAAGUCAAAGGGGAUGAGGAGUGGAGUUGGGCUCCUUGCUUACUGUACAAGGACCCAGGAGUUUAAUAUACUGUGUACUCCAUUACUGAAUGAAAAUGCUUUUGUGCCCUGGGGAUAUCAACAAAAGAUUUGCUUUAAUGAAAGGAACUGAGUGUGGCUCCACAGCUUCCAGAUAGGAGGCCUAGAGGCUACAGUUUGCAUCCAAAGUACCUGCCUUCUCUCUCAACUGCACAGACAGGAAAGAAGCAAUUGCAAAAGCUAAAAGCAACUGCAAUCCCCAUUCAUGCUGGAAAGUGUGAGGAAGAUGUAAUGGUUUUGAACAACGAAAACAUGGGUGUAAAGAAAACACCAAGUAUUAUUUUUGGUUUAAUGAAUGCCAGUCAUUACAGUAGGAAAUCAGCUGCCUUCCCACAGUUAGCAAAAAUCAAACUCAAUCUGAGGAUAAUCUGGGUUUCUAUUUAUUACCUUUAAAAUGCAUUUGUGUGUGUGUGUGUGUGUGUGUGUGUGUGUGUGUGUGUGUGUGUGUGUGUGUGUGUGUUGUGUGUGAUAUUUGGGUGUAUGUAACACAGUGCCUGAAUGAAAGUCAGUGAAUAACUUUAUGGAUAUUGUUCUUUCCUUCCACAUUUAUAUGUAUUUAUGGAUCAAACUCAGGUCACCAGACUUGCAGAAGGACUUUACCAGCUGAGCCAUCUUGCCAGCCUGUUUUUAUAGAAAUUCAGGGCUCCAGGUUAGCAAAGCUCAGGCUGUCUGUGUAUUCUCCUCAACUCUACUUUCUUCUGUCUGAUUUGUUAUCAAGUCUCUCUGUGUGUUGACACUCCAACUCACAACUCCCCAGAACUGAACUUCCAAGGAGGAAAAAUGAUAUUCCCAUUCUUUCUGACAGAAAGGUCGUGAGGAGGAUUCUGGUAUGUGUAGACCCAGAUGCCCACUGCUAAACUAUUUAUUUACUUUACUUGGCCUGAGCCAUGUGACCUAACCCUGAAAUAAGGAACGUAAGAAGGAUGUCAUUAUUUGACACCUGCCUAAACAAAGAAUCCUAGAGUUAGUGUACAGCAAGAUAGGACAGGACACUGGACAAAGAUUUAACUGUCAUCAUAAUACCCAUAGUGCCCUAUGUCUUACCAUUUCUUGCUAAUUUUUUCUUACCUAAAGCUUAGCAAAGAUCUUUACUGCUAGCAAGAGCUUUGAUAUAUGCCACUCUAUAGCAAACUGAUCCAAAGAAAAGCAAAUAGAAGAAGUAAGGAAAAUUCUUAAUACAGUAAAUGAACUUGACUAAUAAUGAUGGAGAAGCUCUGAAAAAUAUCAGUGAAAAGUUUCCCAAAGGCCUUAAAAGUUCAAAGUGGAUAUAUACAUAUAUAUAUAUAUAUAUAUAUAUAUUGUCAUGGAGAUUUUAUAAAUGCAAGCUAAAAAAAUUUAGACAUUUCCAAAGAGUACAGUGUAUCUAUAUAUGUGUGUUUGUUGUCUGUGCAUGUGGAUAUGUUCAUGUGUAUGUAUGCAUGCAUACAGUAUAUGUAUGUGGAAACCAGAAGUAAUGUUACAGGUCUUCCUCAAUGACUUCUCCACCUAAUUUUUUGAAUUAAGUUCUCUCACUGAAAUUGGAAUUCACUUAGACACACCAUUAUGACUAGCUUGUGUUUGGUGGAUCCAGACUCAAGCCUUCAGAUUUGUUCAAUAAUCAUUUUACCCUCUGAGCUAUCCUUGCAGCCCCUAGAAACUACGUUUUAAAGAUAAAAUCCAGAUGACGAAAACAGGGCCUAUACAAAGAAAAUGGCUUGUUUAGGGUAGCAGUGAAUGGCAUUCACAGCAGUAGAAAGGCUGGUGCCAUUCACCUAAGGUCUUUUUAGAUCACAUAAAUCCUAUAUGUAUAUUGAAGCAGUUCAGUUUUACAUUCUUAAAUUCCAAAGAUCUGUGUAAAAUUAACAUUACGGUAAUAUUUGUUUCAAUUAUUUGUAAGAGAGAAAUGUUCAGAGACAUCCUAAUUAAAUGAAUUGUACAUACAUAAAAUAUACAUGGAGGUGUCCUCAAAGAGAGCAUGUGGAUGUCUUCAUCUCUUUACUUUCUGCUCUUUUAAAAAUGCCCCUUUAAAAUUUCCCACUCACCAUCUGUUAGGUAAAUUUCCUAAAACCCAGUAAAAGUGGAGGCAGAGAUUGUUUUAGAGCUGAUUCCAAAUGGCAGUGAUACCUAUAUUUAUGCAAUUUUAAAAAGAAUAGGUUAGGGUUGCUUAAAAAAGAAGCCCCCCAUCAUAAUAUCACAUCACCCUGUGAGCUGAUCUUCAUCACACAUACAAACACACACACACACACACACACACACACACACACAUGCAUACACAGAGAGAGAGAGAAAGAGAGAGAGAGAGAGAGAGAGAGAGAGAGAGAGAGAGAGAGAGAGAGAGUGCACAAGCAUAUGCCAAGCAAUUCUGAGCCCACAGCCUAGAUCAUGUCACUGCAUGCAAAAUAGUAUUCCAAUAGAGUCAGGAUGUAACCAAAGUAAUUUCUACUCUCUGGGUGUUUUCUCUAAGUCAGUAACAGAGGAGCCUUGAUCAGCAAUGAUCUUCUUUCUCAACACUGUAAUGCUUCCUACUCAUGGCUAUAAAAUACUAUCCAGGGGAGACUCGUCCUUUGGUCACCACGUUAUAUAACCUCCCCACUUUAAGCCAUUCCCAUCCUGUGAUUAGUUUUUAAAAAUAUGUUACUCCUCGUCAGUAAUAAUUUAUGUUUAAUCUUUCUGAGCAUUAAGAGAGUAUUAUUCUGCCCGGGCUCAAAAGCAAAUCUCCAGAAAUUCCUCCCCAAUGCUUCUUUGAGGCUGAAAAUGCAUUGCAGGGCAGUUGCUGUGAUUUAAUACUACUUGGCAGAGCCCUGGCCACAAGCUAAUUUCAUUAGCCUCAAAUUCCUGGAUUAGAAAGACCCACUAGAUCUGAUUCUUGUUCUCAGACAUGUCAUUUGCUAACAUAUUCAGGGAAGAUACUGAAGAGAAAAAAAAGGAGGGGGAAGUGGGGAGGGAGGAAGGUAAGGAGGGCAGGAGGCAGACAGAGAGACAGGGAGAGAGAGAGGAGGAGUCUGACCUGACUUUUCCAUCCUAUCUCUUGCCUUGCACCCUUGCACACCAGUGGGCAGAGAAUUCCAAGUGACAUGCAGCAUUACCUCUGAGUAGCCAUCCAUGUCCAGCUCCUUAUUUUACAGUGUUUCCCACCCUGGCUCUGGCAGAAGCAGCAUUUGUUGUACCUCUGACUAUCUCAUUACCUCCUCCUGGCCCCCAGUGCUCCGCAUCCCCUACACUUAGUCUCUAAGUAUCUCCUCUCUCAGGCUACAGGCUCAUCUCACUAUAAAUGUAUAUCUCAACUUAUCAGUUUGGCAUGGUCCGCACAGCCACCCACGAGAACUGAAGCAAAGAAGAAGAAGAAAAAAAAAAAAAAAAAAAAAAAAAAAAAAAAAAAAAAAAAAAAAAAAAAAAAAAAAAAACCAAAUCACUGCAGAGCUGAGAAUUCAGUCAUUUGGAGGAGUUUAUUUUAUAUAGAGCAAUGUUAAUUGAACAGAAGCCUGGGGUUCCAGAGGAGCUUCACCUACUCUCCCUUGCCUCUUCCUCUGUUUGAAGGUGCCUAUCAUUAUUCUACCUUAAUUCACUUUAAUUGUUUUGCAGGAUAACAGAACCUGGAAAACUCCUGGAACUUUGGAGGCUAAGGGCCUCUAAAAUCACAUGCAGGAAAAAAAAAAAAAAAAAAAAAGCUACCAAGUGAUAUCUACAGAGAAAGAGAAGUAUAUAUUGAGAUAUAUGUUCAUAUCUAUGCACACACACACACUUCAAUGUGGGUAAUGGCUAAACUAGGGUGCACACUGUUAUGCCCAGGGUGCAGCACAAGCCACAAGUUGGAGCAUCUCUCCCACUCCCAGCCUCUUCUCAGUAACCGCAGGUGAGAAGCAGGGCCUCUUUUGCCUCAGCUGUACAAUCCAACUUGAAUAGCUGCAAUUUGCAAAUUAGAGGAAAAUGACAGUGUUUCCUCUGAAUGGUUUGGGUUCCAACCCACACUGCUCAGGCUGGCGUUAGUUUCCAUCCCUCCCCAGCUCAAGGAAAGAGGGCAAGGAAGUAGAAGACCAGACAUUUGUUUCUUUGGAAGUUGCCUCGGUUUUUAAAUGCUACUGGGUGAGAAAUCAGCUCCCCUGGAGUCCUUUGAACACUGUCCCUAGCUUCAUUUGCAAUGACUCUCUUGGAUAUUUCACUCUUCUUCACAGACAUCGGUCCAUCUGGGGUAAUGUCUAUGCUCCCAUUCAGGAGAAACCCAGGCAGAGAAAUAAUAUUCAAAUGUUCAAUGCAGAAUGAGCAUUCCACCUCUCAAGGCUUGGGAGAAGACUGCCAACACACACACACACACACACACACACACACACACACACCUCAGGUAUUGUCCCAAUCUUCAUCUCUUCAUUCUUUCUGCAGCUACAGCUCAGCUCCUCCACCCCAAGCUCCCAAACUUCAAGCUUGGAGGUGAACAAAAUUCCUUUUAAAUGUGAUGGCAAUAGCCCAGGCUGUUCGAGAAUUCAAGCAACCUAGAGUGAAGUCUGCCCUCAAAUCACUUUAGGAGAGUGCAAGCAGCAAGAAGUCUCCGGGCAGGCACAUUCAGGAGCCAUUGGUGUGCUCUGUUGAUUAGAAGGGACCCACUAGCUUCAGGGGAGCACUCCUGCUGCUUGAGCACAAAGUUCUCCUGGAGAUGAUGCAGGUCCUUUGCUGGCCUGGACAUCACCCACCAGCAGGUCCCUCAUAAAACUCCUACCCUCCGGGAAAGCAUGUGAGCAAGAGUCACUUCUUAGACUUGGGCAGCACAAUCCUGCAGGCACCAACUUGCACAGCUAAGAGAAAGGGUUGGCUGGAUCUGGCUACCACCAAAGGAGUGAGCAAGCCCUGGGUUAAUAAGAAAGUCAUACUCAAACUGACUUGAGGCAAGAACAUGAGUGUGAGAAAAGGAAACAGGGGUUGAGAAAUGCCUAUGAGGAAGGGAAACCAAACAAGGAAACAGAGAAGCAUAAGGACACCUUGUCAGAGUUCCCUGAACUCAAUUUCUAACCCUCAAAGCUAUCCAUUUCUACCCAGUGCAGUGCAGUCUAGGAGACAGAGGCUGCAGGGACCAAAGGCAGAGCACUGCGGUUGGAGCCCUAGAUCUGCCUUUUUGAACCCAGGGCAUAAGACCUGCAUAACCCGCUUUAGCACAUCCACUGUUCUUGGGCAGAGCAGACUGAGUUUCCCAGCUUAGAGCCUGGAAUUCUGGGUGUGGGGCUGCACUAGUGAGGGAGGGGGACAAGGAGCGCAGGGAGCAGUCAGUGAAAGGGAUUUUAUUUCGCAGUUAGCAUGAGCUCAUCCCCAGCUGAGGUCUGAAGUGGCAGCAGAAAGCUAGCUGAUCGCCCAGCUCCUGCCACCGGCCGGACUGCAAAUGCAAUUUAGGCGGUGCACAAAAUUGCCAGGAGGAAACCAACUCAGGGGGAUCACGUCAGCAGGCGGGGUCUCCCCAGUGGGGCGGAUACCCCCAUGCCUCUGAUGCAGAUGGGCUACAGGUCGUAAAUUCAACCCCAAAGAGACGGGCAAUUAUCAUCCACAUGCGGGUAAACCCCAACCCUCUUUUGAAGAAGGGGUUUCUUGAGGUCUUCGAGAAUAUUUCCAUGGAGUCGAGGUUUCCUAAGUGGCUUGGGCAUGGGAAGCUGGGGAGUUGAGAAAUGCCAUUUUCAAAGCAUCUUCUAAUUUUUCAUAUUCCUUGUGUCUAACCUGCUCCCCUAGGAGCCCAGACACUUUUACAAGCCUGUUUCCGAACCAUAUUUCACUCUAAUGCAAACCAUUUAAAUCAUCGCCUUGUUUUUUCCGAAGAUUGCUUCUUGUAAAUGGGACCAUAAAUCCGGGGAGUCAUGCCGUAUGGAGUGGAGCGUGGACAGGGAAAGACAUAAAAGAGGAGUAAACUAAGCAAGGAAGAUACCUCCUUGGGUGGGGUGGGAGGGAUUCGACAGGAUCUCCAGGGUAGAAAUGUUGGAGUGCUGGCCUGACCCCUGCAACCCAUGAAGUCCAAACCAGCUUUUAAGGUUAGAGCGCAGGGAGCCACAGAAUGCUCCUCCCCAAAGGGAGCGCCCCCCUACCUGGAAAAGCCUCAAGAUGUUGGCUACCAUGAUGGAGACGGAGCUCCCCGAAGCCCCAAUCACUCCAACUACUUUCUCUGGCUUGACGAAAACCGGGGGCUCUCCGUUGGUGCAACGCACGUCGGAGGUGUCCUUCUGGAUAAGCGCCUGGACGAAAGUGAGCGACUGUUCGAGCGCAUAAGUGUCCCUGGAACAAGUGUCCAGGAUCCGCGCGCCUAACGUUACGUUGGGCAGCAGGUUGGGAUCGCUGUUGAUCUGGUCGAGAGCAUAAAGCAUAGCUUCCAGCCUGUGGAUCCCAUUCUCCCUCUUGAUGUCGCCGCAGGGCACUCCGCUGGGACCCUUGGCGUGCACUGGGAACAGCCCCCCAAGGGUGACGUCCCCCUCGAUCCGGAUCGAGUGCGGGGCGUACAUCUCCUGGCCGCGCGCCGCCGCCGCCAGCACGCACAGGAGCACCUCCAGCACGCAGCAGGGGAACUUCAUCAAAGUCAGGACGCGGAGCAGCUUCCCCAGCUGGACCAUGCCGCUCCGGAUGCUGCUGCGGUAGCGGCGGCGGCGCUGGAGGGGAUGCUGGUGGGCUCUCCCAGGUCCCGGCUUCUCGAGAAAAAAUGGAAGUCUGAAACAGCUUUACCUUAAGCACUUGAUCAACUACAUGAAAGUAUAGAUUGAUUCUUCUGGAUUUAAGACCUCACUUUUUGACCAAUAGCUGAGCUUGCUGCCAUGGGCUGCCUGAACAAGUACCAAGAGGCCAGAGAAGAAUUGGAUGUUCUCCAGUCCUGGAACUGGAGUCAUGGAUAUCUGUGAGCGACCACAUUGGUCCUGGGAGACCAACCAACCAACCAACCAACCAACCAACCAACCAACCAACCAACAGCAAAAUCAACAGCAAAAGCAUCUAGUUUUCGGCAAGAGCAUAAAAUGCUCUUAACCACUGAGCCAUAUCUCCUGCCUCAAUUUCAUCUGAUUUUUUUUUCCUAUGAUUUCACUUUCCAUCAUACUGUGUGGAAAACACUUUCUACUUUUAAUUUCUGUCUGUUGCAUAUGUGUGUGGGUGUCUGCAGGCCAGAAGAGGGCAUAGUUAUCUCAUGUAGCUACCACUGCAAGCAAUCUUGAGCAUCUCAGCAUGGGUGCUGGGACCCACACCUCCUCAGGAUCAGCAAGAGCUCUUAGCUGAUUAGCCAAACCCCAAUAUCUUUUCUGUAUAUAUUUAAUUCUAAUUUGUAAUCUACCAAGCUACCAUUAAUUUCUGCUUCCUUUUUUUCCUAUAUGUGAGCAUAUAUGUGUAUAUGCUAAGUAUAUAUCUAGGUAAGGCCUAGAAGUAGUUGUCAGCUCUGGAACAAGAUUUACAAGUGACUGGUAAGGUACCGAAUUUGACUGCUAGAAUCUGAACUCAGGUCUUCAAGAGCAGCAAGUCGUAUUAGCUGCUGAUGCAUCUCUCCCCCGCUUAGUAGCAUUUCUUAAGCUAAAACAAUCUAAAUAUCAUUCCUUUCUUCAUACAUAUAUCCAGCCACAUGUUUUGGAUUUUUUUUCUGACAUAGUAUCUCAAGAAUCCAUUUUUCCAAAAAUAAGAUUGACCUUCUUGCCGGGUGGUGGUGGCACACGCAUUUACCUUUAAUCCCACACUUGGAAGGCAGAGGCAGGUGGAUUUCUGAGUUGGAGGCCAGCCUGGUCUACAAAGUGAGUUCCAGGACAGCCAGGGCUAUACAGAGAAACCUUGUCUCGAAAAACCAUAAAAGAAAAAAAAAAAUGACAGUCUUAUCCUUUUACCUCCUAAGCAUGGGGAACAAACAUGGACUCAUCACGGUUAUAUACAGUGCUGGGGAUUGACCUUCAUACUUCUCCUAUGCUCACAACCAUCUGCAACUUUACUUCAAGGAUUAUGUUUAUCUUUUCUGAACUUUCUUAGAACCAGGCACAUGAUGCACAUACACAUGCACAGGCAGAAUUCUCAUAUGCAUAAAUUGAAAAUAAAUAAAAAUUCACCUAGUGAAUUCUAUCUUCAGAUAGAAUAGAAUGGAGACAGAAUUAAAAUGGACAUUCACACUUACUUUACAUUAUUAAAUAUGGUCACUUUUCCCUGGAGAAAAAGACACUAUUACAUUUUGUGUUGUAUUUUUCUGAGAUUCAUUUUUUGGUAGAUAUAUUUAUGUCAUUUAACUAUCAUCUAUUCCUCAUAUUUCUUUUUUCUUAUUGUUAAAAUAUCUGGUAUUGCACAGAAAUACAUAGUAAAAGCCUCUGCAGGCCAGGUCAAAAGUCACUUCCCUUGAUCGUCUUAUCUUCCUUUAUAAAGGUCUAUUUUGCUUUAGGAACUCAAGUAAGUGGUACACAAGACAAGUUUUAGAAGAUUAUUAUUAUUAUUAUUAUUAUUAUUAUUAUUAUUAUUAUUAUUAUUUUGGUUUUUCGAGACAGGAUUUCUCUGUAUAGCCCUAGAUGUCCUGGAACUCACUCUGUGGAUCAGGCUGGCCUUGAACUCAGAAAUCCACCUGUCUCUGCCUUCCAAGUGCUGGGAUUAAAGGCAUGUGCCACUACUGCCCGGCUAGUAGAAUUUCUUGGGGGUUGCGGUUUGAUGUGUUUGUAGAUAUGCCACCCAGGAUCACAGUAGCCUCUUUCCUAGCUGCCUGCAGAUAUAGAGUGAAAGAAACCCAGUGUUCCUUAUUUUUCUGUGUCAUUACAUAAACUAUAAACCUCAUUGUUUAGAUGUAUUUAUUUGAGAUUUCUCCUACUUGUAAGCAAAUAUAUGAUAUAACUAAAUGUAUGUCAUUAUUAAGGCUAAGGAGGUGGCUCAGUGCUCAAGUGCAUAUACUGCUCCUGGAGAGGACCCAAGUUCAGUUUGCAGCACUCUCUUCCAGUGUCUCAUAACCAACUGUCACUUCCCAUUAUGGACUCUGGAAACCGGUACUCACUCUGGUUUAUACCUAAAUAUAGCUGUAUACAUAUAUACACAUAAUUGAAGCUAAUGAAAAAAUAAUUCAAAAAGACUUGCUGUGAGGACUGAAGGAAUGGUUCAGCAGCUAAAAACACUUCCUACUCUCUGAGGGGAUUUGUGUUAGGUUUCCAGCACCCAUCUGGUUACUCACAGCCAUCUGCGACUUUAGUUCCCUGGAUUCUGAUGGCCUUUACUGAACUUUCUUAGAACCAGACACAUGAUGCACACACACACACACACACACACACACACACACACACACACACACACACACACACACAGGCAAAAUUCUCAUAUACAGAAAGUGAAAGUAAAUAAAACUAUAUUUUAAAAAUUAUAUCAGCAUUAACAAAUACUAUAUUAGUAUAUUUGUGUUAAGGUUGACUGUUGUCCAUGGUGCUUUGUUCAUCCUGAUCUCAGUGAUCCAACCCAUUUCUCCCUUUACUAGAGAGAGAGAACAUUACUCACUGGCCCUUUGGGUAAGAGCAUGAGGCUAAUUUAGAGAAAAUCAUAGUAAUGAAGAGGAUUCAUUGCAUAAUGCUAGACCUCUCUUCCAUACCAUAUUUUAUUGACCUUAAACAUGUAUCCCUUCCAUAGAUGUGAGUAAGUAUAGAGAUGUUGGCUGGAGUCUGCAUGGGGGCACUUUGACUGAGCUUACCCUACACUACCUGAGUGGGUUCUGAGUUGUAGGGAAGAGUUGAGGCACCACUCUGAGGAUGGAAAAGCACAGCCUGAGACAUGAGAAAGCUUGAGCUGGUCGGAGAGGCCUUUGGCAGGAGAGUAGGUUAAACCUCUGUAGGUGAAGGCGUUCUCCAUGGUGCCCCACAGUGGCUCUUGGUGAAAAGAGAUAGUCCAUGGUUUUAAACAGGUUAUUGUUGUGUCCGAAAAUGGAUGCAUAAAACCAUACCCCACUUCUCAGGGUGGGUCUGAGAUUAAAUACUUUUUGUGGGAAGAAAUGUUUGAGAAGGGAAGCUUAUUGGCUAAGCCCUCCUGGCCUCUAGGUACCUCAUGGAGCCUGUUCUGGGCCAAUGUAACCUAGGACACAUUUUUUUUUUUUUUUUUUUUUGAUGUGAGAAGCAUGGCAAGUGUUCCAAGUCAGGAGUUUUGCAGGAAGCUGGAAGAUGGUUAAGCCUCAGGUGUGUGCCCACUGAGUCUCCUGGUCUUGACCUGCUCUAUGUUACCAAACUUCCUGGAAUGGUUUUAUGUCCUACAAAUAAGAGAGCAGCAUGAUGGACUUUUUACUUGUCAAGCAAAAGAUUUUCUCUUCCUUUCCAGUCAAGCCAUCCUGGAAGCACUCAUAUUCUACCCUAUUUCCCAAAUCUCUUCAAUGACUUCUUAAAUUGGCCGUGGAUGGGAAUUCAAUGUCCAGAAGCUUCCAUUUUUACAAUAUGAACAGAAAUGUCAGAGAAUUAAAUGAAGCCACAGAAGGAAGCAGGUUCAGAUGUAAAACAAAGACGAGAGGCCCAACAUGGUCCCUUGAGAAUGAGUUCAGUCACACUUCAAGCUCCAUUCACCACUGCAUAUUCCAUCUUCCUGUGCACUAACUUCUUUCAUUUUCUUGGGUUGUUUCUUUUGUUUGUUUGUUUGUUUGUUUGUUUGUUUUAUCUGAUGUCGGUUUUCAUGUAUCUCAGACUGGCUUUGAAUUUGCUGUGGUAGGGAUGAAAACCUUGAGUUCCUGAUCCUCCUGUGUCUACUUUCUUUUUUUUUUUUCCUUUUUUUUAUUAGGUAUUUUCCUCAUUUACAUUUUCAAUGCUAUCCCAAAGGUCCCCCAUACCCACCCCCCCAAUCCCCUACCCACCCACUCCCCCUUUUUGGCCCUGGCAUUCCCCUGUACUGGGGCAUAUAAAGUUUGCAAGUCCAAUGGGCCUCUCUUUGCAGUGAUGGCUGUGUCUACUUUCUAACGGAUGAAGUUAUACACAUACUCUACCACAUUUGGCUGUUUCAUCAUUUGGAAAAGCUAUUUUGAGUUGGUUCUUGCAUAAUCAACAGUGUUAAUUAGACAGUUACAGCUUAAAGAUAAGCAGAUAACUAAAUGUAUAAGCUACUGAUUAUUAGACUUCCCUGAGAAGGAAUUGUUGAAAGUCUAUAACUUGGUCAUAAUAGAAUAAAAUGGCCUUCAAGUCAGCUCCCCAGGUGACUACAGACCUUGAGGAGAUAAGAGCAAACAUGAAAUGAUCAUUUUAUAGGAAAAUAAAAUGAAAACAUAGUAAGGGAAAAAUAUAGGUAAUUAGUCUUUAGUCUUUUUUUUUAUUACGUAUUUUCCUCAUUUACAUUUCCAAUGCUAUCCCCAAAAUCCCCCAUAUCCUCCCCCCCCACUCCCCUACUCACCCACUCCCACUUUUUGGCCCUGGCGUUCCCCUGUACUGGGGCAUAUAAGAAUGUAAUUUCUUAUGUUCAUCCUUAACAAGUCAUAUGGCAAUGGAACUGGGAUGAGUGCACAUGUGUGUUGUUUGUUUGUUUAUUUAUUUAUUUAUUUAUUUAUUUAUUUAUUUUGGUUUGGUGUUUGUGUAUGCAUAUGCACAUUUGCAUUUGCACAAUCAGCAAACAAGCAAGGGUGAGUACACAUGUAUGUGGAGUUUAGAGGGUUUUCAUCAACAGGUGCCUUUGUCAGUCACUAUCCUAUUUAUUUAUUUAUUUAUUUAUUUAUUUAUUUAUUUUGAGAAAGAAUAGGGUUUCUCAUUGAACCCAGAGGGCUUCAACUUACCUGUGCUAACUGGUUAGCAAGCUCUAAAGAUCAUUUUGUCUCAAUCUUCCCCUGGCUGGAUUUCAGGGGCUUCACUGCAAUCUGUAGGCUUUUAAAUGGUUUCUAGGCAUCAGACCUCAUGUGUUCUUGCUUUUGUGGCAAGUAUUUCAUUGACGGUCCAUCUCUUGCUUUUCUAUGUAAAAGCUGAAACAAUGCUCUGAGCAUAAUGAUCUACCACUGUCAUCCCAAAUAGCAUGGACACACAGUCAAGGGAAAUGCUGUAUGUAAUGCUAGUCUUUUUCUAUACAGAAUGCUCCGAAUUAGCAAGAGAUAAUGGAGGAGCUUUGUUUCACAACAAACAACAAAACACCUCCACCACCAUCAUCAAAAUGCUGAUCCAUAGCAAUGAAUAUUUUUAGUAUUUUUACUCCAGUAAGGACCCCAAAAAAGUGGGAUACAUAGUAAAUGAUAAGUCCUAGUUAUCCGAAGUUCCAUGUAUGUGUCUGGGUAUAGUGACGAUCAGCCGUAACCUCAACAUUUUGGAAGCAGAAGCAGGCAGAUGAAUUAAAGACAGUCUGAACUGUGGUGAGUUCCAGACCAACCAGGGCUGCAUUGCUGUCUCAAAAAAAAAAAAAAAAAAAAAAAAAAAAAAAAAAAAAAAACAAGUGGUGUGUCUCAUCCCUAUCAGUUUUCAUUUGGUGGUACAUACACUUGUGACAUAUGUCUUUGAACAUGCUGCUUGUACUUUUUCAGGUCUGUUCUUGUACACUGGAUUCUGUUGUGAUUUAAUAAUGUACCUCGGUCAACCACUGCUAAAGCACCAAAAGUUCAAAGUUCAAAAUUUGCUUACAUGAAGCUCAAAUCUAAUAUUUUACCUGAAGUGUACAAAGGGAUAUUUUCCUUUCUGAUUAUGAAUUGAUUCAGUUAACAUUACUUUUUACUAAAAGCCCGGUUUUAUGAGUCUCUUGACAGAUUAUCUAACCCAGGUGGUCAGCCCUAAACACAGGCAAUAUAAAAUGGGCUUGUUAGUUACAGACAGACAGACAGACAGACAGACACACAAAGAGAGAGAGAGAGACAGAGACAGACAGAGAGAGAGAGAGAGAGAGAGAGAGAGGCAGAGACAGAGACAGAGACAGAAACAGAGAAACUGAGAGGCAGAGAGAAGCAGAGAGAGAGAGACACAGACAAAGAGAAAGAGAGAGAUUACACACAUAUGUGUAUACGUAACAAUAAUAAUUAUAGAAGACGAGGUCAUGAACUUUAGGGAGAGUCAGGGAACAAGGAAAAUGUUGGAAGGAAGUGAAGAGGAUGAAAAUGAUGCAAAUAUGUGAAAUUCUCAAGAGGGUAAAAAAUUGGAAUGCCAAAUAAUCAUCCUUUCUUUAAAAUUUCCAAACUUUUCCUUCUGAAUUAACUUUGUGUACUUUAAUAUAGAGAAUCGUGGUAUUAUAUGUUUACCUUUUGCAUAAUCAAAACAUUAGGCAUUUCUCUGUUUCAUCCUUCUUAGUAGAUCAAAGGAGAAUGUCCACAACAGUGGUUGAUAUCCAUGGUUUAUUGAAAAUUCAAGUUAUAAUUUUAAGUUCACCUUGUAAGAUAUUUUAGAAGCUUGCUUCUCUGAUCGAUGUCUCCAAUCUUUAACUUCCUAUCCACAUUGAAAUUGUAUAGGCAAAUAUGAUGCCAAUUUUGUAGUGAAAUUAUUCUUCACUAUAUAUUCUACAAUUUCAAUCGGGAGUCAUUCAGAUCACAUCUUAUAACUUCUCCCUGCAAAACAUAUAUGUAAACCAAGAAAAAUGAGUUCCAAUCAAUUUUCUUCUUUUUAUUUUAAAGGAAUCUUAUAUUAUACACACUAGUUCUUCAUUUAUAGUAUCUAGCCUCCCUCAUGUUUCUCCAUUUCAAUUCAUCUCACACGUUCCCCUCUUAAAUUCAGGACUUUGUCUUUGAUAUUGUUGCAUGUAUUCUUCCCUUAUACAAUGCUUUCCAUGACUUCCUCCAAAAUUCAUCAAUUUGUUAUUGUUAUUUGUAUAACAUAAGUUUUUAUGUACUUGUACCCAGGGCUGACUAUUUGGUAUUGAGCAACCUGUUCAGGAGCUUGAUUUUAUAGAAACUGAUACUCCUUCACUCAGUGGCCAUUGGCCACCUGUCACUCUUCAUCUAUGGAUGAGGACAUGUGGAAUAUUGUCUAUCUAGUCUAAUUUCUGAAGGAGAGAACAGCAAGAAUCUUUUGUGAACCUUAAUUCAUCCAAUCACGAUUGACUUAGUAUAUCCGCUCCAGCUGUGAUAACCUAACUGGCCAUAAAUUUAUCAUUUCCCUUGCUGUCAAGCAGGAAAUCAGAAUAAAAGAAGCUUCAGCUAUAUCUUA